UUUUUUUUUCAUAUUGUUUUCUGUAUUACGCCCUGAUCGAGCUGGAUGCUUAUGCAACCAGAAAAGAAUCGAUAAGGCCAGUGGUGUUUAACUGUUAAAGAUGGCACCCGUGCAUGUUAGUAGAUUCCAAAAUCCUGGCCCUCGUGUCCAGCCUCACAUGGGCUGCUCACAUGGCUCCAUCGACCGGGCCAUGAUAAGCCCACCCUUGUACAAAUUAUUGGUGUCCCCUCCGCGCUCGUGUGCAUCGCCAUAAUGUGUGAGAAUAAAACAAGAUACACCUCAGCAUUCCCAACGUCGUGAAUAAGAAAAGGAACUGUAUUGUACUGUAUUUUCCUAGAAAAAAGUUCAUUAAAAUGCUAAAAAGUUAAUAAUGGGUAUAUAUGCUUAAAUUUAAGAUGUGAACAAAUUUUGUUAUAUAGUUGUUAACUUGUUAUUAUUAAUAACCGGUAAAGGAAGAAAACAAAUAAUAAAAGAGAGUCAUUCUGCGCGUUGCGGCCGGGCCUAACCGCCUAAUGGGGGCCUGGGCACAGCCCAAAACAGCAGCAGUGCUUGGGCCACUUAGCGUGGCACCGCAUGUCGGCCCGGGAACGGCCUGUUAAGGGCCCGCACCACUCCCCCACCUCCCCCAUACAAAAGGUUGCCCCAACCCUAGCCCCUCAUUUUCCCCUCCCCGGUUUUCCAGCAGCCGCCGCGCGCUGCUCCCUCGUUUCACCCCUCCCCCUCAUCUUGGCGGCGCUAUUCGGUCUUCGCAGGGCCCUUUGCCGGCGACGAGCACCCAGCAGGUAUGCCCUCCCCUUCUCCACCCUUCCUGCUGUGUGGAACAGAGCACCACAAACCCUAAUAUAAGCUAUCUGUAUUCGGAUCCCACCCAGUUACAAUACUAUUACAUAAGAGCUUCGAUUUUGCUUGCAAAAAUUAUCGAGUGUACAUGCGUACACCCAUGUCCUAUGCUGGGUCCGCCCCAACUGGAAUGCACGGUUUAUCUGCUUUAUGUAUUUGCUUUGCGAUGUAAUAGCAUUCCACUUUUGGCCGUGCAAUAACAUUAGAAAGUUGGUAUGUAGCAAUUACGAUUUGCCAAGUCCUUUUUACUGUUCGUUGGUUUCUGCCUGCUUAUAGAAGUCCUCCAUAAUCCAGAAAUGAAAUGAAGUUUCAACUCUUCUGCUGCACGGAAUGUAUUUGGCUCGUCACCUCUAGCUAGUGUGUAUUCAUCCAUGGAGGAUCAUAUUGAUGCUAUGCUUCUGUCCGUAGCCAGUUUUGCGUUUGUCUGUACUGUGAUAACUGAUAAGAACGAGUUUCAGUACUUUUUACAUUUAAUGUGCGUUUUUUUAGCUUGUGGAAGAUCAUUCACACUUGCCUAGGCUGUUCUGAAUGCCGUACAUAGUAGUACUCCCUCCGUUCCAAAUUGUAAGUCAUUCCAAGAAUAUUGGAGAGUCAAAGCAUCUCAAGUUUGACCAAAAUUAUAGAGAAAAAUAUAAAGAUUUAUGACAUCAAAUAGAUAUAUUAUGAAAAUAUAAUUGAUAAAGAAUCUAAUGAUACUUAGUUAACAUCAUAAAUGUUAUUAUAUUAUCAUAUAAAUUUGGUCAAACUUGAGAUACUUUUACUCUCCAAGAUUCUUGGAAUGACUUACAAUUUGGAACGGAGGGAGUAGUUGGUUUCUGUGACACUUGGGUUCAAUUCAUCAACUUUUUUGUGGUUUUGGCACUUCAGUAUUAGUUAAGGUAGACGAGGCUUAUUCUUCCAUGUUGGUUCUUCUUGACUGCCAAUCUGCUAGUGUUGUAUUGCAGUCUGCAGCUUCUCUGUUACUUAGUUUUUGGCCAACAUAAAUGGGUCUUGACUGUCUCAUGUCAACUUCGGUAUCAGUUGUAGCUCAAUAUGGUUAUCAAUUUACAAAAUAAUUUAUAUCUGACCUUGAAUCGUGGACUGUUUUUUACACUUUGGUUAAUUGUACUUAUUUAGAAUGGUUGCACUCUUAAGCUGCCUUUCACAACUUUUUUGAUGGUGUUCUGCAGGUAAGGUCAUUAUGGUUAGAGUCAGUGUUCUCAAUGAUGCUCUGAAGAGCAUGUAUAAUGCUGAGAAGCGUGGGAAGCGGCAAGUCAUGAUUAGGCCGUCAUCCAAGGUCAUUAUCAAGUUUCUUAUGGUCAUGCAGAAGCAUGGUUAGUUAUCAAUUUUUAUCCUAACAAUUUUUGCUUUCAUGGAGGAUGGGGUCCCUGAUACUUUUGUUGUGCUGUGCAGGCUACAUUGGUGAGUUUGAGUAUGUGGAUGAUCACAGGGCAGGAAAAAUUGUGGUUGAACUGAAUGGCAGGCUGAACAAGUGUGGUGUCAUCAGUCCUCGCUUUGAUGUUGGAGUGAAGGAAAUUGAGGGAUGGACAGCCAGGCUACUCCCGUCUCGUCAGGUUUGUUGCUUGGCGAUGUUACCGACUCCAAAUACCUAAAUUGUGACGAAUUGUCUGUGUUUUGGGCACUGCUGAUCUUUCAGUGGUAAAUUGAUUAACUUGCCCCUUGGGACUUGCAGUUUGGUUACAUUGUUCUGACUACAUCUGCUGGCAUCAUGGACCAUGAGGAAGCCAGGCGAAAGAAUGUUGGUGGCAAAGUUCUCGGUUUCUUCUACUAAAAUGGAAAUUUUGCAAGGAGCAUCAGUUUUUUUGUCUGAAUAGCUGCAGAGAUGAGCUUAUGAAGCAUGUUUGCUGUUUUGUUAAUGUUUUGGCUUUUAUGAUAUUUGAGGUGUAGUUGAAUGUUCGCUUGUUAGACACCAAACUGUGCUCAACUUAUAUAGUUGGCAUCUGGAUUUUAAUCGAAUUAAGCUAUGGUACUUUCUCGUUGUGUUGACUAUCUCCAAAUACGCUCUUUUGACUUGUGUUAAUUCUUGUAUGUUCCCAAGUGCAAGUGAAGUCUGAAACUCAGAACUGGUUUGUUUCAGAUGUCAAUGACCUGGAUAAUAUGCCAUUAGUCUGGAUGCUGCUGAAAUGUAGUACCUGAAGUAUAUGAUUUAAAAUUUUAGAAAAUCUCUAUUUGCUACUCUCUCUUUUGAAUUGUAGGUUGUUUUAUUUUUUCCACUUAGAUAUAAGUGUAUGUCUAGAUGAACCCAGAAAAUCAAAACAACCUACAAUUUGGAAAUUUGGAACGAGGGAGUACAUUACAUAUGGGUCACACACUCACACCUGUAUACGCCGUUAUUCCCAAACUAAUUUAUGCUAGCUGGCUAGUAUGUAGUUUCGUAGAGCAUAGACAUCAGAUGUACCAAUUAAGAUGAAACUUCACAAAGAAACUUCACAAAGAGAACAUCUCUGAAAAGCAACAAAACGUCACAACAAGCUCUACAAACGUAUACAGUGGCCUGCACCAUAUGGUACUUCACUAAAUACUGAUGUAUUAUUGCUGACUUAAUAUAGAUAACAACGGAUACAUGAAGUUGCAUUUCUACAGUGACUCAUGAGCUAGGGGCGGUAAUACACGCGCUCAAUUACCAUCUUCUCACGGAGGAGGAAGAUCUGCCAAAGAUGUAUAGUUGCCCUACAUGGCCGAACACCAGCUGCCUCCGCCGUCAGCCCGUCACCGUCGCAGCUGUCGCCGCCGCACUCGCUGCCGGCGAAGCCGAGGGAGCAGCCUGCUUGAACUACAUGGCAGCGGCAUCAGGACAAUGUUGGGGUAGAGAUUAGAGAGGCACACCCCGGUAAAGGGUCCUCCAUGGAAGGUGUUGGAUGAGGAUGCAUAUAUAGGGAGCUUGAGGCUUGUCCCGGCGAGUGGAAGCCUAGGUGGGUGACGGCCUUUUUCGCGAACCGGAAUGCGGUAUCUUCCUUAGCAUAUUCUUGAGCACAUGGAAACUUCUCCCCUUUUCCUGUUCCAUGCUUUGCUUCGCUUUCGAGUAUUCAAAGGAUAUUCCAUGCCUUUGCGUGCCUUUCUCUGGACGUAGAGUUGGAGUGGCUUGACGAAGCAUGGGCUGGAAAGCUGGUUAGGGUUAGCUGUGGUCACGACGUCACGUAGAAGAGUCUUGCCUGGUGCUUUGUUUGUUCGUCUAGCAGUAUAUACCAGGUCAUUCAGAGUGAUCUGUUCUUCUAGCACUUGAUGAUCUUGCCUGCUUGGUCGUUUUCCUUUCCCCAUGAGUACAGACAUCAUAAAUAAAAACUAUUAACCAUAUGAAUAUCUAUUUGAAAAGGUUAAUUUAGUGAAAAAUAUAACGUUAAAUUGCUGCCGUGUCAUGGUGUGUUGACGAUGUGAGUUGGAGUGAAGUCGAUCUGCACCUCCGGCUAGGUAAGCUCAAGUUGGUGUUUCUUUUUGUUACCCAGCUCUUUGCAAAUCUUUCGACCUACACGAGAUAUGCUCGAGCAUCUUUCGAAAAAAAAAGAUUUUAGCUCGAGCAACACUGUAAUUUGUUGCCCGCAAAAAACACUGUAAUUUGCAAAUCGCACGUCGAGCACGUCACGUGAAUCUGAAUGAAGUGCUGCGCGGCCCAUGAUCCCCAGGCAUACACGGCCCAGCCAGUAAAAGAAAAACUGCAUGCAGCCUUUGCAAGCGACCCACCAAAAGUCCAAAACCGCAGCGGCGCAAACCACCCCCAAUCAUGACGAGGUCAUAACAGCCCAAAAUUGACCAAAAUACCCCCAAAGGACAACCCACCCGUUCCUACGAUUACCUCAGAUCCACCCCCGCUGAGAACCGAAUCCAAAGCGAUUCGAUUCCCCGCAUCGGCUGGUAAAAAUCCGCCGCUUCGCGCCCGCUGCUGCUGCUUCGAUUGCUUCGUGUGAUCAGUGACCUCGCGCUUCUCUCUCCCAGCCUGUACUCGCCAGCGCGUCGCGGUUGAAGGUCGGGGUGGUCGGGCGGGAGGGCGAUGGCCGCGCCGCCGGCGAGGGCUCGCGCCGACUACGACUACCUCAUCAAGCUGCUGCUCAUCGGCGACAGCGGUGAGUGAGAGUGCUUCGUUCUACAUGUCCCUGCUUUGAUUCACCGCCUGCCAUUUUUAUUUUUGUUAUCUGUGUUGGUUGCGUGCGAGCGCAAGCCUGCUGGAAAGUGGUCAGUGACGAAAUGCUACGCUAGCUGUUAGUGGAUUGUUUGUUUCAUUUGUUGGAUUUAGAGCGGAUUAGCAGAAGCAUGUGGCUUUUACUUGCUGGCGUUGAGUUGCGGGUACAUGAUCAUAGCUGCGCUUGAUUACCUGCUGCCUUUGUAAUAAGUGACAGCUUGUUGAAUAAGGGAGUGAUACAGAAGAUAACAAUGGGAUAUUGAUAAGAGAAGUUAUUAGUUAUAUUAUGUGAAAUUUGGACUACAUGCUACCAGGGAUUAUGGGGACAUUGUUGUCUAUUACUGCAGAAGAACAUUGUGUUUUGCUGAAGGAAUCGUGGACUUGUGGAAGGUCUGCCAUAUGCAAGUCGAAUUGCUUGAUUCUGUGUUUGAAUAAAUGUUUGUUUGUUUGGAAGAUCUACUAUGAUCUUUUUUCUUUUUGAGUGGAGAUUUACUAUGAUCUACAAGGCUAGCUUAUGUUGCAUUUCCCAAGCAUGUAGACAAGGACAAUAUCUCAUCCAGUCAGCUGCACUCCUGAAGUAAGUAUGUCCAUAAAAUGUUUUCAGCUGUAGUAAAAAAUGGUGCGAAUUCAAAGGUUUACAGGGGGUUGCUCGUUUUUUCAGGUACAUGUGCACGUGUGGUGUUCGUGACCAUCCGGGUAUCCAAUAAUCAGUGACAAAGACAUCAUUUAUAAGCUAUAAUAAGACCAUGUAUAGGCUAGAGAGAUUGGCUAAGGAAAAUGAACCGGAGACGGAGUUUUUGAGCAUAAGUCAUAAUAAACCAAAAUGCAUAACAAAAGACAUAUUUGGCAUACUUAAAUUUUUUAGGACAUGAUUAGCAUCUGACUCUACAUGAGUUUUCUUUGGUCAUUACAUUGUUGUAAAGUACAAUAAAUACGCUACCUACGAGGGAAUUUUGUUCUGCAUUUUCACUUUCUCACUUUGUUAUUUCUUCAGUUCACAAAUGAGUCAAUCCCCUGAACCCUUCCUUUGUUUUUUUUCUGUACAUAGGUGUCGGCAAAAGUUGCCUCUUACUGCGGUUCUCCGAUGGAUCCUUCACUACUAGUUUUAUUACUACAAUUGGGUAUGUUCUAUGUUGAAACAUUAUUUAUCUCUUCCCAACUUCCCCUGAUAAGUAAUUAUGCAUUCUUAUUCUGUUGCUUCAAGUUUUCCUUCUUUGCCUGUUGACCUUAAAUCCUGUUUGCCUGCAGCAUUGACUUUAAGAUAAGAACGAUUGAACUGGAUGGCAAGCGUGUUAAAUUGCAAAUUUGGGAUACAGCUGGUCAAGAGCGAUUUAGGACUAUCACUACAGGUGCUAUACUUGUUUCAUUGUGUGCUAGUGACCAGUCCUAUGAAACUAUAUGAUACUGACAGUCCUAUUUUCAAUUGAGUUCCUUUUUAUCUCAGCAUACUACCGAGGAGCCAUGGGUAUCUUGCUUGUCUAUGAUGUCACUGAUGAGUCAUCUUUCAACAGUAUUGCCCUUAUAUAUCUCUUAAAUCUUCAACGUGGAUAAUUUUGCCUACUUUCUUUUGUCUUUGAUAGUCUUGUUCAUUUGACAUACAGAUAUACGGAAUUGGAUUCGCAACAUCGAGCAGCAUGCCUCUGAUAAUGUGAAUAAAAUUUUGGUAGGCAACAAGGCUGACAUGGAUGAGAGUAAAAGGGUAUUGAUCCAAGCUCCCCUAACCCUAUUAUAUGCUACUAGUUUUGUAUGGGCUCUGAUAUCUGCUACUAGUUUUGAAUUACUGCUUCACUUCUCUUUUUGGUUGUUAUUGCAGGCUGUUCCUACUGCAAAAGGGCAAGCACUAGCUGAUGAAUAUGGCAUCAAGUUUUUCGAGACUGUAAAUACCUGCGCUGUGUUGUUUGGUUGUGUCACUGACGAACUUAUUCUGAUUUUGCUUCGUGCUGUAUCUUUCAGAGUGCCAAGACUAACCUCAAUGUGGAGCAAGUUUUCUUCUCUAUUGCCCGAGACAUUAAGCAGAGACUUUCUGAAACCGAUUCCAAGCCUGAGGUAUGGUUACAUGGAGGCUUGUGUUUAUGAGCACGUGAAAUUUAUUUACUCUGUUCAGAGUUUGAAAACUAUCUUAUUGUUUUUAGGAUAAGGUAGUCAAUAUUAGACAAGAUCAAGGUGCCGAGGCCUCGUCAUCUCAGAAAUCUGCUUGCUGUGGCUCAUGAGGAAUUUGGUCUUCAUUAUCCUAAACUAUGUUAGCUUUGUUUUCUUACUUUUUUCCUUGAUAUUGUAGGAAAAAUGUCAAGAAGAUAAUCAUGAUGUGCUUGUUCUUUACUUGUUUCCAUUCUGUGCAACAACCACUCUUGCCUUUUCAGUUUACUAUUGCAAUUUAUUUUUUUCUUCUUCUUUUCUUGUGGGGUGAUGGUGGUGCUGUGAUGGGGUGUUACUGCAUGUUUUGUUGCAAUCAAUCGAGACACCUACUUUUUGCAGUGCUGUGUAAUCAAAUUUAAAUAAUUCCAUUUCUAGUUUACCUAUCUAGGUAUAAUAUAAUAGUACAUCAAGUCACAAGUGUUGCAUUGAACAUUAAUAGUCACAGUUAUGCAUUAAAAAAACUUCUAUGAUAUUAUAUGCGCAGAUCCAUCUUUUUCGUAUGGUUGAUCUGAAUAUUUACAAAAUAAUAUCAGAAGUCAUAUUUAAAAUAAUUUGACUGCACAUGUUCUAAGACCAGUUAUUUUAAAUAGAGCGUGUAUGCCAAUUAUUUGGACCUUUGACAAGCUAAAACUUUUGACUUCAUGAUUGUUGAAAGUGAUACCACAAUUGGUAGUUGUGUAUUAUGCAAUGCUUAUAGUCAGAUCACGACACCUGAUUGAACAACUAGUACAAGUUUUUUUAAAAGAAUUAUCUUUCCUCAAUACACAGUAUGAUGGUUUUCUUGUUUUUGUUUCCUUUGCAUCAUUAAGAAGAAAUAAUAAUUGAAUGAUGUGGAUUUUAUACGGGUAAUACGCUGUGAGAAGUACAAGACAGCUUUGAUGUUGGCACCAAAUCACAUAAAAAAUUCUGAAAGGAGUAUACACAUGUACUCCUCAAUUUAUUCUAUCUCUAUAUAAAAUUUUAAGUUAAAAUAGUUCUGUAAAUAGUUAUAGAAAUUGAGAAUCCUGACAUUCAAAAUCAAGAGGAAAGUGAAAAGGAUGUUAUUGUUUCAUUUCAGUUUUAAGUUGAAACCGUAAGGGGUUAAUUAUAUGGUAAGUUUGCACAUCUCGUUUCAUAUUGUAAAAUUGGUUGAAAAAGGCAAAUCUCGGUUAUUCUUCCAUGUACGUGGGUGAAUGAAAGUUUGAACUGUUCUGAGUGCACGUUGAUUGUUGAAUGCACUUAAAAACAGGGAAGAAUCCAUCAGAAACUGUCGAACUCAUUCUGCUUUGUUUUAUUCAUCUUCUUGCGUUUCUUUUGGUGUACUCUGACCAGCUGAAGGUACAGGGUAAUCCUGACAGCCUUGCAAUUCAGCCUGCAUGUUUCGCACUACUGUGGUUAUCAAAGUAUUAGCAUUUAUUCAAAAUAAAAAGAAGGGAUAUUAAAAUUGGAAUGAAAAGCGAUGUCCACGGGCAAGCAAGAAAAUAUUGAACUUGGCCAAUAACAACUGUUUGAACGCCAUUAUUACAAAGCGGUACAGAACUGUUACUUCGGUAAAUUCUCUCCGCUUAGUCAAAUGGAAACGCAUAGCAUGUUAUUACUAUUUACACCAAGGAAAUGGGAAGGGUUCAUCUCUAUUUCAUUCAAACUACCCUAGCCUAUAAAUAUACCUAACAACUCCAUGGUAGAAACCGAGAAUUACAGAAGUCUAAAACAAAUCUAACAUGUAUUUUGGAAAGAAUUUGGGGGUGCCCCCAGAAAGUAACAAUGGAACAGUAUACCGUGACGAACACAACAACAACCAUGAAAGAAAAAAAAAAUUAUGUGCAGUCUAACGGAAAUCAAAGGCCCAACUAGAGCGAACAGUCUAACAUGGCGAGCGUCUUAUGUACACCCUGCCCGGCUCCGCCUAGCACCGCCACGCUCCGGCACUUGGCGCAGUUCUCCGACGGCGUGAGGUUGAGGUCCAGGCAGAUCCCUCCGGCGACGUCGCAGGCCUUCUCGGGCGCCGGUCGCUGCACCUUGUUGUUAUGCGCCUCGGCGUCGGCCUCGGCCUCGGCGCGGUGCCGCCGCAUGUGCCCGCCGAGCGCCUGGCCGAUGGCGAACUCGAGCCCGCAGACGGGGCACUCGUGCACCCUCGGCUUGGCCGGCUGCUGCGGCGCCAGCAGCAGCGGCUGGCGCCCGAGGCAGAGCUCCGCGUGGUCGGCCGCUGGGCUCUGCUGCUGCUGCUGCUGCAGCGGCUGGAGCAGCCUGGGCCGCUUGUGGCUGGCGCGGUGGCCACCGAGCGCCUGGAACGUCGGGAACUGCCGGCUGCACGUCUUGCACUCGAACACGCGCCCGUGCGGCCCCCGCGCCGAUGGGAACGGCGCCCCGUGCCCGUGCUGCAGGAGGUGGCGCUGCUGCUGCUGCUGCUGCGCCUGCGCGAGGAGCACGAGCAGGCGGGCCGUGUCCGCGGCGCCGGCCUCCACCUCCCACGCCGCCCUGUCCCUCUUGCUCAUGGCUAGCUAUUGAUCUACCGAAAAAAAAAUACGCGCAAAUGUCGGGGAAUGUGCGGGGCAUGGGGGCAACAGGCGGUCGUAUAUAUAGCAGCGGCAGCGCAUGGCGGCGUUGGAAUUGGGUGCCAGGCCGGUCGGGUCCGUUUCAGACCGCCUGCACUGCACGUACGACUCCGCAAAAGAAAUGGGGCACGACGCACGACUCGCCCAGUUGCUAGAAUGCUAGCUACUACGCCUAUACCUGGUGAUGACUCGACUGAAACGACCCGAUCUCCCGUUUGGUCUGCUUCUAGACGUGGAUGUGUGUACUAUUCCGAGCGCUGGAGAGUGCCUCUGACCACAGCUGCGUGUGUGCUGUACUACUGCUACCUCCGGACACCCCUCGUGAAGUCGCGAUGUCUCAGUCAACAUGGGUGUGUCCAUCGAUCAAGCUGUGUGGCUACCCCGGCUCGUACUGGCGCUACCCUUCUAGAGAGGCUGCGCCGGCGCGGGCGACGUGCGUGCUCCCGAGCGUCGUCCCGUUCCGUUCGCCAUGUUUUACUUCUGCUACUCCCGAGCGGCCACGGCUUUCACACCUCCGAUCCUCCUCCAUGGAACGGCCGGUUGGUAAUGGUGUCUCGGUGACUCAUCGAUUACGGGUACAGUCGGUUCAAUUCCAUUUAACAUUUAUUGGGUCGACUCGAUCGCAAUCGUCUAGAACGUACCAGUGGCGUCAGUGUCUGACUAUAGCAUCUCCGUAAUUCGGCGUACUGAUUUGAGAUUUCUGUCAGGACCAGCGGAGAAGAUUAUCCGAGCCAGAAGUUUACUGCCGCGUGAGGUACAGUUUGCUGCUGCUGAAUUCCUUUCCAGAUGGUUUGGGGAUGCCGGUUAAUCGGAGGCAUCUGACAGGAACCGGAGUCGACGACUGAACAGGUUAUACUACUCGUUGUGCAAUCCAUUGUCCAACUGCCAACUAAACUUCUUUGACAGGGAUCGGAGUAUCGAUCCAAUCCAUAAUCGUCAAUCACGCAUUCGGACUUUAGCUAAUUAUAAUCAGUUCAUUGCUGGAGUUGUUUGAAUAAUGAACGUAGUAGUCAUAUUGAUUGAACGUACAAACUAUUCUCACGUCCGUUUCCCCGUGAAAAAAAAUAAUGCAGCCUUGCAGCAGCAGCAGCCAGUUGGGUGCUUCCGCGAAUGCGCAAUCUUUUCUUGUGCAUCAGAUAAAAAAAAGUUUAGCCGAUGGAGUCAAAUGUCAACGCGUUAGCCGUCAUGCACUCAUCCUUAACUUUACCAGCCACCAGGUGCCUAAAACAGUCGUAAGAUCAAAUCUCCUUGGGACUUUAUUCGAAGAUCGAUCAGUAGUAGUAGUAGGUGACUCACCUAACUACUCCAGACGCCAACUGUAUCCCGGCCAACGACUAACCUGUCCACGUAGACAACACGCACGCGGAAAAUUGAACCUGAGAGCUGCGAGUUUGGUCGAUCCGGUCCUGCAUGCGGCAGCAUACUGAACUAGUGAUCAAGUACUGACGCCUGCAUCACGUACCCAUCGUUAGGUAGAGUGCAGCCCCGGUCUUGCCGUCUUGGCGGCAAAACGUAGUACGGGCGAUUAUUUGACCAAUAUUUUUUUUGGAGACGAGAAUAAACUGAAAACGAUGGACCGGCCGCCUGUGCAUUUUCACUCCCAUAAUUUCUCCAACCACACUUGGGCCAAAAACUUCUAGCAUGUGAUCAAAACACGUGCACGUUUUCAUAGCUGUUUGGUUUUGAAAGGCUCCCGGAAGGCCGAAACCAAAGAAGAAAAGCUCGGUUUCGAGGUCAUACUAAGCAUGAUUCAGGCACUGUGUCGGUCAGCAGUCAGCGCAAGCUACCAUGUCUUGAAAUGUGCCCCCAAAAGCUAAGCUUUGUACUAACACGUACAGAACGAGACCCGUCGCCUGCAAGACUCAUGCGUGUGCGCACGAGUCCGAUCGAGCUGCACCAACCACCACUAUUCCCGCUUAAUUUUCCACCCAAACUAAACACCAGGAAAUCACGACAGCCACGAGCGAGCCCACGAUCUAAUAAAGAUUGAACCGGAUCUUGGACUCGGACUCUCAAAACCGAGACCCACCAACGCAAGGCCAACGACGAUAAGCGCGGCCGGCACGAUCCACCCAACUCCCUUUUGCUUUGCUUUGGAUUAGUCUAUGACGAGUAGUAGCUAGUAAUUUGCAUUGGCCAGGUCAUGGUUGCAUCAGUUUUUUUCUUACACGUCGCUGUAAGCACGAUCGGUGAGAGCUGCAAGAAGUCGAUCAGCUCCGCAUAUUUAAUCCUGCGACUUGUGCACUCGGAGAGUACUUGUGGAAUUGUUAGUGGUACAGAUGUCCGGCCGGCGGCCGGUUUCUUGCAUCGCUUGGACACUUUUGUCUGUGUACUGCCAGCUGAUGGGACGAUUAUGCCAGCGCCACAGGAUUUUCAAGGGAAAUUAGGUCGUCCAGGUGGAGUACACUACGUAUUUUUUCAUUCUCUAGAAAUAUUAGGACUUUCUCCUGCCAAUUCGCAAUCGCCGUGAUGCACGAUGUACCCGAAUAGCCGUUGAAAAUCGUGUAUUUUAUUUCUCACAUUCCGAUUCAAGACGGAUCGGAGCAGCGUCAGUGCUGGUUAAGACAAGCACGUACAUGUUGGAGACGGCGACCUGUUCAUGCAGGGUGAUUUCAGGAGAACACGUCAGCUUCUCAGGGCAUGCAUGGAAGUCAAGAACGCAGUUGGAAAGCACAUCUCGAUCGAUCGCAUGGACUUGGGUACAUGGAGGCGACGUGGAACCCGUGCAACUUGGAUCAUCGUCACAGAAACGGUUUCACACGGGUCAAUCAAUCGGUCGAUGGCUCAGCUCUUGGUCGCUACGGGAAUAUUUUGCCUUUUUACACUAGCUAUAUCUUGAUCUGUAGUGACAGCGAGUUACUAGACAGUCAACAGCAUGUGUAUGCCAUGGAUGAUGAGUUGAUGACUCCUAAUUGCGGAAAGGUGUGGCGAAGACCUCCAAGUUUCCAGCACUCGCUGAGUCAUAUCAAAUGAAGGAAUGCGAGCAUGUCACAGUUAACCCUGCAGUUAGCGCUUAUCGGAAGAAGAACUUUACCUGCGUGGAUGGCGUCAGAGCUGGCGUAGCAAUCCCAGGUCGUCAGAGUUUAGCUUCGCUCCUUUUCAUAUUCAGGUCGUUCGCUCGUCAGAGGAUGAACAUGCUGCUUCCCCUCAUACACUGCACCUUCCUUCACGUUGCGUUGCUGCUAAGUUAGUGGAGAAGAAAAGGCAUACUCUCUGAACGAAAGCCAUGUUAAACCAAUAGUGCAAAAGCCAUCCUCUGAUCUUCUUCAUCAGAUGUCUGCAUGAUUCAUGGCGUAACCCGUUGCAGCAGCAGCGUUUUUCUUUUGUUAUGUGUUGAGUCUGCAAUAUUUCCUUGACAUGUUCAGUUUACAGGUGACAGGCGAACCUUCUCAGAUGCUUCAGAGAGCACAUUUUCUAAGAUCGCUCGUUUCUAACCUAGCAGGAGUAAGCUUCAACCAUCCCUGAGUCAGCUAGCCAACUUUUCCAGGUACAGCCGACAAGUAUACGAGGUACAGCCAGCAAAUCCAGACGAGAUACCAAUACAAUUCAUGUUUACUUUUCCCCACACCAAUGGUCACACAUACUACGGAUAUAUCUUUCCAAUCCAGUUCCACGGCUGUACUAUUCAGUAGAACAAUAUCUGUUUCAGACUAGGAUGUGCACUGCAAGCCAAGAGGUCGGUGUCUGGUCAGCAAACCCACCAGCGCAUCAAAAUCACAAAGAUCUCGUUGCUGCCUAUGAGAUGAUGAGUUACCAAACACUAAUCUGUCCACUGGGAAGGAGUCAACACGCAGGAAAGACGGGCCGAAAACGCCCUCUUUCAGUUAGUUUUUUUUUUGAAAGAUCUGUUUCAGUUAGUUCCUCAACUUGCUGCUACAAACCUAGUGAGGAAAGAACCACUAGCGACUUACCAGAGAACUAUCAGCUAGGCUAUGUCACGCACACGUCAACACAAGAGAUUCCAUUAGACACAAAUUUAAUAAAACGUCGUAAGUUCAAAAUUUAAUAUAUUUCUACCAUGGCUCAAAUAAAAGAGGGGUACAUGCUCCAAUAGUUACCGUUUGCUCCCCGUUUUACUGAGUUGUUCGGAAUAACUUAGUUCCAGUGAACAACUAGGGAUAAUAUGAUCCACCACUAAGGUUUCAUUCUUCAGAAAUGAUAAAUUUAGUAAACAGUAGCAUUAGACACAAGUUUUAAUUAAUAUAGAGGCAGAUUAUUUAAGUCACUAAGAAGCUAUAGAAAGUAAGAUGUAACCAUAUUAAAGAACCAUUGUAUGAUGACCACUCGAAGCAAAAAUAGAAAAAUGGCUUAAUGUUUAGGAUUCAUGACAUAUGGCCAUAUUUUUUUCAUUUUCCAUUUUCCAUUAUCUAUCAUCAUUCACAAUCUCAUAUACUGCAUGCAUGAUAACUAAAGAACAAACAGCCUGAGCAUAACUAAGAUUGUAGUGUUAAAUAUACAAAAACGAAGUAAGAGUGCAAACAUCUCACCAAGGGGAAUGAUAUAUAUUCAUGGAUUGACACUAAAAAUAAGGAAAAUAUAAAUCCCGACUUGUUUUUUUAAGUCCUUAUUUUUUAACUGCCUUUCAAUCAAUUAAGUCUAAGAAAAGAGGGAAGACCAAGAGACCGAACAGAGACAAAACAGAGAAGGAGAAACACAAAUCAUUGGUGAAAUUAAAGAAAAGAUCUUUGUUCUUAAUAGUAUCUAUUUUUUUAACGAACGAAGAACCGCUUAUUAUAUUAAAAAGAAGAAUAAACCCAAACUGGGUACAACAACAACGCACAAAGGUAACCUUCCACAGAUCACGCUAAACUCAACUCAACUCAAACCAAAACAAAUUCUAUGGCCGGUCGGAUUGAGACAUCAAUACAAGCCGCAUGCUAACACCUGAGCACUGAACCACCACAUCGCACCACCACAACCCGGGAAAAAAAGCCGACAAGUAGCCCUCAUUGCAAGCGCCGUCGUCCCUGACGAUAUCCCACACCGAACUAGCCGCUGCCAUGCAGGACUGGCUGUCGCAGUCCAUUGCAAGCCGUGUCGCUACCAUGACACCUCCACCGUGCCGUCAUCGUCCUCAGGUCACGCACACACGAUCCUCGAUCUCCUAAAACGGCCUUGCGUCGGAAGAAGUCAAAAGGGGAGCACACUGCACCACACCAAAAGGCCACCGCUAUGCAGGACCCAACGCUGAAGCACCGCUGCAGCACCGUACACACCAAACAACCAAAACACCACACCGGAUUCUAGCUCUCCAAGGCAACUCGAACGCGUGGAGGCCUCACCACUUCCACCGCUGGACUCCACGCCAAAGAUCCGGACUUGCUUUGCCACCGGGGGUGAUAUGGUGCCACCGAGCUGCUCCAAUAACUUCACCUCCACCUUGCCGCCGGAAUCUCAGUUGCCCACAUAGGUGGACCCAAAGCUUCAAGAGAUAAUGGCCCACCACCUUGGCGAAACCUAUCAGACGUUGGCCAAAGAAUGGUUUCCGGAAAACCACAAAGACAACGCCUCCAAGGAGGGAAACGGUACCCGAGGGCGUCGCUGUCAUCGUAGCCAGUAUAACUAGCUUAGGCUUUCGUCGGUGUUUCCGUACAGCCCAGCUCAUCACCAACGUCGACAGCAACACCACCCUAUCACCGGCGCAGAUCCUCAUCAGUGUCGCCAGGCAACCUCUUGCAGCAUACCUUUGCACGCGACCACCACCCACACGCGUGCUUGCGCGGCUCCGCGACAUUCGUGCUGCCGCCCAUGACCAGCCAUGGACCGCGGGAGGCCAGAACCGGUCGCAGGGACGCCGGGAAUUGUCCAGGUGGAACCAGAUCCGUCACUCCAGCAUCGGCCAGCCACCGGCACACCGUGCGGCUCCACUCGCGCCCGCCGCCGCCAGCACUGCCUACACCCUCCUCGCCGCUAGCCUCGCAACCCUGUGCAGCCGCCUCGCACCGACCCUCGCCCACGUCGCUGCAGAGCCACCGGCCCCAAUAGCUGUACUUGAGCCGUGUGCUAGAAAGCGCAGAUCCACUCUCGAGACCUCCACAGGCUUCCUCGUACUGCACCUCCAGACUGUUCCUCGCGUGCAGCCGCCGCUGGCCUCGCACAGCUGCCACAGGGCCGCCGCCAUGCGCUCGUGCGGCCGCCGCCAACCCCCACGCAUUCCGCCUACUUCCACUCCCGCACACAACCGUCAUCGCACCGCCUCCUGCUCCGUGCCGCCGCCAUCGCUACCACUCGCCUAUCCUUUACCACAGCCGCACCGCCCUCCGCUGGUCCGGACCGGCAGCCGCAGGGCCGCCGCCGCUUGGCGCUGCCCGUCGGCCACCGCAUCCUGACGCCGCUCCCCCAGCUUCGAGCCUAGAUCCGGCCCCGAAGGGAGUAGAUUAGGCCAAGAGGGUGGCAGAUCUAUGCCCGGAUGGUCGAAAUCGGUUGACCGGCCAUAACCACUGUCGAUGCAAACGAGAGGGCCUCACCGGCACGAGGGAGAAGAGACCUCGCCGCCACCUUCCUUGCAACCGGAUGGACUUCCGCCUGCCUGCUUGGGCGGCGGUGAGGAGAGGGACGGAGGCUGGGGCUGGCGGUGCUAGGGCCUCGGGUCCGCCCGAGUCGCCCCGAGGAGGAGCAGCUCGGGCGUCUUGCGAUUUUCAAUAGUAUCAUGCUACCUUUCUAAAAAAAAUCUAGUUGGUGCUCAACACGCUAUACGAGCCAAAAAGUUCAAUGGGGAAAGAAAAGAGUUUAACUGACUCCACACCUCCUACAUCAGUGGAUUUUAUUUAAAAUAGAGCUAUAGUAGACGGUAGUUGGCUUUGCCAACACAUAUCAGACGAUCACUACACAUGGAUGAAAAAAAUUCCAUCUGCCCCUUGGGCAGCGUCAUCCAGCGCCGCGCGGGUAUCCGGACUCUGUCCAACUUCAUCGCGCUGGUAUUCCAGCCGGCUUUGUUUUUGCGAAACGACGCACAUGCAUGCGGCUGGCCGCGCUGCCAAUCCACGGCGACUGCGGAGGCCUUUGGAGUUACCUGUACGACGCGAGUGGCGACGUGUGGGCAUGUGGGUGCCGCCGGCCGGCGGCGAGGGCUGAAGGGGUGCGUUCGACUCGAAAUAGGAAUCUCUCUACGUCAUGCUUGCAAUUGCGCAAGUUCUAAUCGGUGCUAGUGCUAGUAGCAGGCCAGCACGAUCAGUCUGGAUUCGUCUCCCAGGUGUCAACUUGAUCGCAUUGCUUGUACUGCCAGUUGAUGGAAUUCCGCAGCCCACAUUUUGGAAGAAAACCAUCUCGUCCAACCAUUACGCAGUAUGUGCUCUAGAAAGGUACGACUUCGUGGGUAACUCACGAUCUUACUUCUAGAGUUCUAGUAAUGGUUGGAAAAUUGCAGGCGUUUUCCACUUUGAACAUCUGAGUUUAGCAAUAGUGCCAGCAGUUCAGAAGGGAACCUUCUGCAGAUGGCGUGAUCCCGUACAACACUAGCUACGUACAGCUCGAUCAGCUCAGGGCAUGCAAGUCAAAAACGCAAAUGAAAAUCAAGCACACCGCAGUCACACGAAGAUCUUGACUUUGCAAUCGAGAUGGGAGAUGAGUUCGAGCAACUUUGGAUCGGAGAAACACUUUCAAUUUUCUUCGCCUUUAGUACUAGCAGCUGUCAUUUCAGUGGCAGCAACCGCUACACAGUCAAGAGCAUGUAGUUGCGGCAAUGCAGGAAGAAGAUUUGCAAGCUCAUUCUGCUUUGUUUUCCUUUGCUAGUACUCGUGGAGUCAACUAAUCAAAAUAUCCGGACAUUUUUUCCCCAUCUGAUCAGGCGACUUUCGAGUAAUUUCACCAAACAAAUAGACAAUGUAGCAUGGAGAUACAAUUCUGGUGUAGUACUGUACGCACGUGUUUUCAACUAAAUGGUACAGGAGUACACAACAAAUCAAAUUAGACGCUUGCACGUUUCAGAUUAGGAUGCGUGCAAGCCUAGAAGGAACCUGCUCGAAACAGUGUCUUUUUAUACAAUUAAAAGAACCCCUCAUCAAUACAUCUAAAUCACAACUUCACAAAGACCCUGUGCGACCUUUGAGGGGAUUAAUACCAUACUGAAAAGCAAGUCAACACACGAGAAGGACUUGCUGGUGAGUUCAGGUGGCUUACUUUCUUGAGCUGUUGAAUAAUUAGCUUUGCAGCACUUGUCAACAUGUUGCUGGACCUUACUGAGGAGGAAUGGAACAAGAAAACAAGCAUACAACUUACUAUUGAGAUUUUUUUUAAAAAAAAAUCGGCAACAUCAUACACAAUUGAAGACAAGAUCUUGCAUAAGAUACGUACAGAAAACCAUCGAAAGCUUGUAGCUGAAAUUGUAAAUAAAACCAUGAGUAAGGUAAAAUUAAAGUGUUCAUUUACAUUGCAUAUAAGAGCAGUUAAGAGGAAAAUUUACUUACAUCAAAAUUCAAACAAAGUUUCAUCUACAUUCCACAUAAUAAGGUACAUAAACACAAAAUCAAACACCACAAUGACUACAAGUCUACAACGACAAAUUUCCUGUUCGUCGACAGCUGAGGAACAUGGCUCAUUAAGAGCAGGUAACAAUGAGACCAGCCUACACCAUUGAGCUUAACAAGGACUGUAAUCUUAUCUAUGAACUGAUAAUUCAAUAGGUGAUCUCUCUGUACAUGGACCAUCAAAUUGGACCGAUGCUAUUUUCUAUCUGCACAGCUACUGCCAGCAUGCUUAGCAGUUUAAUUUGAAUAACUUCAUGUAAUCAGUGCAUAUGUCAACAAAAUAUUGAAAGCACUGCAUGUCUACUUCAUUUACUUGGCUAUCAUCAGGCGUUGUUUCUCACAUGAAGUGAUAAUGGCAACAUGGCUCAAUAAUUCUUUAUUCAUGACAUAUGGCCACAUUGAUUUUUUUUUCAAUUAUAACUCAUGACAUAACGACUAUAAAGUGAGCGUAUAUAGCUUGCUGCAGUGAUGCAGAUAUGAACUACAACUUAUGUCAAUAAUUAAUUAGUACUCAUCCUUUUGCAAACAUCUCAGGUACCAUGUGGGUCCAACCGGUCACAUCCACCCAUCACCCCUGAAGAUAAUAAAAAUUACAAAGUAAAGGAUGUCCAUGGAAGAAACGGACAGAGGCAAUUUAAAGCCAAUACACUGAGUAUACUAAAAUGUUUAAGAAUAAAAUAAAAGAACAAACUUUUUAUGGACAUGUUCUAUUAUGUUGAGGAUUUAAACAGAUGAGGGUUCUAUGUUAUCUGGUUUAGAAAUUGGAGGUUGAAAUUUAGACUCGUCAGGGAAAAUUGACGGUUGUAAAUUGAACCUUUCCCUAAGAAAAUGAAGGCUAUGGCAGCACGAUGGCUUGUUUGGUUUUGCUAGAAAUAAUGUCAUAUCUUUGGAACAUUACAUGAAAACUAUUGCACUACUUGUGGAAUACAAAAGCAAUAGAUGAAAAGGACUGGGAUUACCCUAUUAUUCGCAAAUUUGGCUUCACCGACCAAUUAGGUAUUAUUGCUGCACACAUAAUGAGUCCUUUAUUCCUGAAAGGAUACAGGGAGGAAGGAAACAUGAGCUUUCUAAAUAUAAUUAAUACGAAACAACAUCCCAGUAACUCUAGCAUAAUAUGAUAGUCAUACUAAUUCUCCAAAAGAAUAUAAGAAAAGUUCAUGAAAAAAAAGGGCACGCUCGACUUACCAAUAAUACCGGCAGCAACAGGUGAAAAUAUGAUGAGCGAGUGUGUAAGGGCUCGCUGGUGUUCUAUCACUGUGUACAAUGUCUUCAUCAAUGGCUGGAGACCAGGUGUCACUACCUAGGUCGUAUUGCUCAACAAGUGGGUGGGCUGGUCGCACAGCCCGUCUUCCCAACAAUGGAUUAAAAUCAUGUGUCUCAACCAUUCGAGAUGAUCUAUUUUUGCAGAUGAUAGAGUUACCCAAAAUAGAGGGGAACCUCUUAGCGGAGAUACACAAGGCAUGCACCUCAGAGAAGAUAGCAUGCUCUCCGAUACUCGUUAGAGGAGCAACUCUUCCCUUGGUAAGGUCUGAGACUCUGUAAACUACCAAGUGUGCAAGUGAAACGUCAGUGAAGCCAAGAACCAUGAGCUCCGAGCCGCAUUCUACCAGGCGGGCUGUACCGACGUACACCUCCGUCCAGCGGAGACUUGACGAGCAUCCUCGGUGGCGGCAGUGACAGCGAGUGGUUACCCUCGGCGCUCGGUUGUGGCGGAUCAAUCCGGCAGAUGUAUACAUUGUUCUUGUCAGCAGAAUUCACCGCCAUGGCAUAAAAUUUGCCUUGGAAAGACAUAGUUACUGCUCGCAAACGAGGGAGCUUCCAGGCCGAGAGGGACCAUCGCCGGUCGCCGGUAGCGGCAUAGGCUACACGACGUUUGGUGUCAAGGCACAGCAUGACUGUGAUAGCACCGGCGGCGUUCACAGUAACUGCCGCGCAAACUCCCCUGAGGAAGACACCGAGCUCGCGAAGCUUCAUACUCUCGGUCAUGUAGCGGCAGAUGUGUGGUUCAAUGUCCAUAAUCUGUGGCCAGAGGGGCAACACCGGUGGGAGCGGCGAUGUCGCCGGUGAAGGGGUGGAGGAGGCGGAUGGCGGUGUCGGGGUGACGGAACAGCAGGAGGAGGCCGUCGGCGGAGCCGAUGACGAUGUGGUCGUCGAAGAGCGGGAGGUGACGAACUCACCCGAGAUUGGGGUGGCCGGGGUAGAGGCCGUAGCCCUCGGGGAACAGCAUCCAGCGGCGCGGGUGGAAGCGCGGGUCGACGAGACCGCGGCCGCGCGGGGGAACGGUGCUCGAGUUCCAGUGGGAGCAGACGGAGCGGAAGCGGACGUAAUCCAGCAGGUCGCCGGCCAGCACCCGCCACGCGAUCAGCUCCAGCAGAUCCUGGGGCAGCGACGCCCACGGCUCCGAUCCAAGGAGCCGGUGCUUGCUGCUCCUGUCUUGGAUCAUCGUUGCCGACAGGGGGCGUUUUUGACACGACGGCGGCGAUCGACAUCCGGAAUUGCCGCGUAUCAGAUGAUCCUACCGCAGACGAGACGAUGAAUAUAACCGCGGAUGACAUGCGAGAUUGCUUGUUGUUGUUUUCUGUUUCCGUCUCGAUCCCGUGAUCGUGGAGACGAGCAGAACCGAGCAUAGAAAGAGUCCCGAUUGGAUUGGGUGUACGUGACAUAUGCUCGUUAACGCUCCAUCAGUUGAUUGCAUGGCUUUUACAAGCUGAUGGUAUUUCUCAACACAAAUUUUCAAGUUAGCUUAGGUCGAAGCGCCAAAUGUUUUGUCAUGGUUGAGAAACUCAGUUUUCCCUGCAAUUUAAGCUCACAAGUACACGGAGGUCGCAGACUGUGCGACCCAGUGUACCACUAUCCUAGUACACGGAGAUCACGAAUUUCACGUCCAUUCCUCUUUGCCUUAAACAUUUUUUAUUGCAAAUAAAGAUAUAGAACAGAACUUGUUUCAUUCUUGUACUUGUCAAAUUAGGACGUCUUUCCAUCAAAAGAAAUUAGGAUGUGUACCACGAGUUUCACUAUUCCAGUCUACCAAUGACCAAAAUUAAGAAAAUUCGCACUACUACUGUAAACCUGAUGGUAUACUUCGUUUCGUGUUAGCAAGGAACUUAAGGGAUCAAGGGACGGAAUCACUUCGGCAAUCUGCUGCCGAGUCUGCUGACGUACCGGCUCAGCAGGUCUCUCUGCGUGACCGCGUCGUCGUCCACCACACUGCUGACCUGCUGCCUGUAGCCGUCGUCGUGGUUGUGCGAUGCCGGCAUCCCAUCCCUCAUGUCAUCUUUAAGGUCGAUCAUGAUGUUGUUUAGCAAGCAGCAAGCGUAGAUGAUCCUUGGCAGCCGGUGCUUGUCCGGCCUCCACACCUCUCCCUUAAGGACCUGCCACCGUUCCUUCAGAUUGGCCAGGGCACCUUGCACCACCGUUCUCGUCGCGGCGUGACGCUUGUUGAACUCCACUUUCUCUGAAGAUAGACCAAGCUCUUGAUAUGGAGUCAUCAGCCAUGGAAGAAGAGGGUAGCUGGGAUCCCCAACAAUGUAUUCUCUGACCGUUGGCCCUUCUGAUUCUCCAGGAAGCUCCAUUUGCCCCGCCAGCCUUGAGCCUUUCUGGCAGAGCCUGUAGAAACCUGAGGUGCGCAGGAUGCACGAGUCAUCCAAGCUCCCGGGCCAGCCACAGACAACAUCUCUGAACCGCAUGUCAGGGUCAACAACUGUCUGCAGGACCAUGCUGUUCUUGUUCUCGCCGUCCAGCCAGACAUUGCUGUUAGGCUGCGCCGAAGAGCACAUGAGGAUGUGUGUUGUGUCCAUAGCGCCACAGCAGUUGGGGAGACCCUGGAUCUCUUCAAACUUUGCUUUGAUGGUUGCCAUCUCCUCAGGAUCAGGCCAUUUCAGAUGACCAGUAGCGCGCUCCUCCAAGCACUCGAUGAACUUCCAAGUGAUGUGUGAGAUGCUUGAGUGGUUCAUCCCAAAGCGUGUUCCUAUGCUCAUAAGUGACUCGCCAGUGGUCAGUCUUAGCAGAGCAACGCCGACUUGAUCCUCCACACCGAGAAUCACCUUGUCCCCAAACUUAAAAUUUCUGAAACUCCGUGUCUUUUUCGUGAAGUCCCCUUUAAUUAGAGAGCAAAGGUAGUCGAAGGUCCUCCUUAACAUCUUAAAGGCAGUCUCGAAGUUUUGGCAUUGUUUGGAAGGUUGUCCUGUAAAGGAAUCAGAUUGAAUCAUGUAUAGAGAUAUCAUUAUCUGAAUAACAAUGGAAAGUCAUUGUACAAGCCACCAUGAGAAAGACAUGAAAGGUUAACAUCUGAAGGAUUUAAGCUUAUGCUCUGCAUGGUUUUAGGCAAAAGAGGAACAUGAGCAAAAGACAUGAAAGGUUAAAAUCUAAAAUAUUAAUGUUUAGAAAGAUGGAAGGAAAUCAAGAUAAAGCAGUACAUUGGCAAAAGUGCCCAAAAAACAGCAGCUGAUAGAAAAGUUGAAUGAAUGAUUUUCUAUCAUUAUCUGAAGAGGUUAGGCUGUUUUUGAGGGACAACAAAAACAAGUUGUACAUAUGAUUGCACAAGAUACUUGAGUCGCGGUUCAGGACAAAACUUUCAGUUGAGUGCAGUUAUAAAUAGAUAGUUAAACCAUCAUGAUUUAACCCUUCAUGUGACCAUCUGACUAAAUCUUACUUGAUGCCUUGGUCUGCAUCAGAGUUUGAACUUUGAACAGGUAACUCAACUGUAUCUUUUUAGCAGUUACUUGAAAUUCGGAUAAUGUUACUAUUCAGCUUACUGUCUGCACAUAUGCUACCUGGUGAUUCAACUAACUUUUAACGAUAAGAGCUGAUUGCAGAGAGAACACUCAUAGCACUAGAGAAAGUCUCUCUAAACUACUUUAGGUCUGACCAAAAUAAAAUUUGCUAAACUCUUGUAGCCUUCUACAGUAUUUGUUCUCUCUUGGAAGGCCCAACCCAUAACCAUCUGCAAUUUGUACUCUCAGUAUGGAAAUAGUCAGAUGAAUCAAAAUAUUGCAAGGAUGAUCCUUCAUAUCAAAUCUACAGUUAGCUGUACAACUGAGACCAAGCAAGAUCACUAUGUGUUCCUGACUCUUAGAGUAAAUUCCUAACCAAAUUGUAGCUUGCUGGAUUAGUAUAGUCGUCCACAGCAAGCGUUUUGGCAAAAACAUCUUUUGGGAGGCUACAAGCCUGCAGACACUGACAUCUGCAGUUUAUACUCGUACACAUAUUGAUUGAUGAAUCUAAAUACUGCUAAGAUGGUCCAUCAAAUUUAAGGUCAAUUGUACAAUUGACACUAAACAAAAUUUAAGUUCCUCCAAUAAACUCUGUAAGCUCAUUGAACUAGUUCUACAUUAAUGAACUUGUGUAAUGAUGUUUUAAGAGGCAAUACUGAAACAGGAAUUAUCUUCAGAACUAGCGGGUAACUAUCAUUACUUAAAAUAUAGCAGCAACCCAAAUUGCUGGCGGAGUUAAUCAUAUAACCAGGUAGGCUUGAAUAUACUACACCCAAAUAAAGUUCGACUGUAUUAUUGGGGAAAACUAUCUGAGAACAGAAAUGUCAAUGUUCAACAACAACCAAUUAACAGCUAACUAUUAUUAACCAAACAAGUUUCACCAUCCUUCGCCAGACUGAAGAAGAACUGCUGUUUCUUCAGGCAAAUUUCACUUCGUCCCUUGCUGGGAUGAACUCAAGACAGGAGAAUAUAGUCCUCCAGACACGUUGCCAUCAACGGUCAAGCAAAAGAUUUUGGAUUAGGUUGGCACAAUGGGCAGAAUCAACAACACCUGUAACACCACUGCACCCGGUUUAACAGAUCUGGAAUGGACACGACGAGGCAACAAACCCACAAAUGGUAAAACUAAUUGUGACCUCAAAGCAACAAGCAUCGCCCAUACCCGUAUGCCUCGGUCUGGAACGCCCAUCCCAGUGGUUCUUGCCUCUGCAGUCUGUACACCUCGCAAGCCCGAUGCCCACCGGCUUCAGUAACCGCGAGCAAACAGCAGAUUCAUUACGCCUAGCGUCCGGAUUAAGAAGCACGGCGAGAGCAGAUUAAACAACGCGCCGAACGCACACGCCAUACGAGCACUGCAAAUUCAGCGACGGCUCUCCUAAUCUAGAACCGCGAAAUCGGUCCAGGAACAAUCCAAAAGGCGAGAGAUUAGCACGCAUUACCUGGGGCCGCGGCUGCGAGGUUACAGCGGCACAGGAAACGAGGAGCCGACAUGGUUAGGGACAGAGAGCACGCUGUGGGAGAUGGGAGGGAGAGGAGGGUGUAUGUAUACCUGCUGCAAGCCUGCGGGAGAAGGCGUCCCACCAAUCGCCGGCGAGGGGCUGCGGCACCGGCGGCGCCUGCGCCUGUGCCGGCAAGGCCCUCUCGGGCUUGCGCUUCCUCCGCUUGGCCCCCCUCAGCGGUGCCAUGACGAGCGCAACGCCGGAGAGAUCAAGAGAGGAGGCGGCUACCAAGCAGGCUGCGACACCCCAAAAUGACUUGGCCUUGAAAAGACCCUGCUGUUUAGUGACAAAGCAGCAGGCUGGUGACUAAGGGGAUGUUUGGGUCGCAUGUGCUAAACUUUAGCACCCGUCGUAUAGGAUGUUUGAUAUUAAUUAGGAGUAUUAAAUAUAGUCUAAUUAUAAAAUUAAUUACACAGAUGGAGUCUAAUUCAUGAGAUGAAUCUAUUAAGCCUAAUUAGUCCAUAAUUUGACAAUGUGGUGCUACAGUAAUCAUUUCCUAAUGGUGGAUUAAUUAGGCUUAAUAGAUUCAUCUCGCGAAUCAGCCUAGGGGUUCUACAAUUAGUUUUAUAAUUAGCUCAUGUUUAGCCCUUCUAAUUAGCAUCCGAACAUCACCUCGUAGCCAAACACGCCCUAAGAGUUUUCUAAAAAACAUUUCCCCAAAACUAUGUAUUGGAGGCUCUUUAAAAGAAAAAUUCUCAAAAACAUAUCAACCUACAACAGAUCGCUAAUAACUAGCCCCCAAUAUUUCAAAGCAGGCCAUGUCAUCGUAAUUGAGUCCUGCCCGGCGCCUCCGUACUCUCUCCCCAUUUAUUCUUUCUUCUUGUUCCGCGUAGGUCUCCCGCGUAUAGCACGCGGGAAGGAGUUGUUCGGGGCGAUCGGGAAAGAACCGGUCUCCCGCGUAUACGCGGGGGCGACAAAGGUGUUUUUAGCGUCCGCGUAUUUUUACGGAAAGGAUGGUGAAGCUGUUGGAAGUAAGUUUUUUUUCCUAAGAUCUUGUGAUAAUUUUAAGGAGCUUUUAAAGUUGCUCUAACAGAGCUGUGGCACAAGUAGUUCCACGGUCGCCUGUUGUUAUGCAGUGCUGCUCCUAUUGCCCAGUGCCCAGUGGCAUGCCACAACCAACAAGGCAGGUUAGGACGUUAGGCGUGGCCAUUGUCAUGUGCCAUGUCAACAGCCCCCGUCUCUCCUUCUGAUUCACUUUUCUGUGUGCUUGUCACCCUGUGAUGGGAGGCUAGGUUAAAGGGAGUGGCUAUUAUAUCCAAAUAUACCAUUAUUUAGUUUUGUAGAAAGGAGAACAAGUUUUUGAGUUCUCGUGUUCUUUGUAACUCGGGAAAAACAACCAAUUUCCAUCAUACGAUCCCUUUCAACCUCCGGGAAUCCUAAAUUCUUUAGGUUGACCUUUUGUUUAUCUUUUUUUUAUCUAGAUCUUAUUUUAGAACUCUGUAGGUUCGGAAUAGUUAAAGCGUUAUUGUGAGUGUGGUAUUAUAUUGCCAGGCUAGUCGGUGAGUUACUCCCUUGCACAAUAAAGUACGGAAUAGUUUGGUAUUCUUGGAAGGGAAUGGACCUAGAAACUUGACACUUUUUCCGUGCCGUUAUUUUGGGAGGGGGUAUAGUGCUAAAAUUUUUAGAAUUUGAUCGAUGUUUUUGUUAGUGGAGUUUGAAGCAUGCUAGGGUGCAUGUGCCCCUACCUGCUCCUUUGCCUCCGCGGCUUCGCCAGUGUUCUUGGGGUGUUGAUAGCGAUAUGUUUUUCAGUGCAUUAAUCUUGUUGUGAUUGUACCAAUUUUUAUAUGAACAUAAAUAUUUUUUUAAUAAAAUAUUUUAUUGCGUGUGAUGUACCAAACGUAGCAACAUUUAUAUCUACAGUGAAGUUCUAUGUGAAAUAAGAUAUGAUGGUGGCAGCAGUAAAAUAUGAAGAAUUAUGAAUUACGUGCUUGAAGACAUGCAAAGAGGCGGAUAUUUGUAGAAUUAGUGUCCUCGUGUGGUGCCUGAUGGUUAAAUAAUGGACAAUUCUUACCAUGCAGUUGUGUUUCUUUAAUUAAAAGAGUAAUACCAUACAUUAAGUGGUCCACUUCUCAAUCUAACAAAUAUAACUUCAUGCACGAAAUUAUCAGAAUCCAGUGUGUGGAAAUUAGGCAAACUUCCAAUCUUUAGUUUGGCUAGAAUUUUGUUGUUUGUUUGCUAUACAUUGGUGUCAAUGGCUACAUCUCCGCUUUGACCGUUGACUACUGAACUAGAGUCUCCGUCCCAUGAAAGUGAGCAGCCAAGCACCUCACGGGGGCUAUAAAGUUUACGGUCGCCGGACGGAACGCUCCGUCCGGACGUCCGGUCGACCGAGUGAGUGUCGGAAGGACACCCCCGUGCGGGUGGUUCCUUCCCUUUUUUACCAAAAAGUUAUAUAGAAAUAUUUUCCACACAAAAAAUUAUGGCAUAAUUUUUAUACCAAAUAUUCACGACAGAAGAUUCGUAGAAAAAUUUUGUAGAGAAAAGAAAAUUUAAAUGGAAAAAUAAUAUAAAAAUUUAUAAAACAAAUUUUGGAACAAAAUAAGGUAAAAAAUUUUGAAACAAAGUUUCUGAACAAAACUUUGACACAAAAUUUUGGAGAAAAAAAAUCGAACUGAGACGGGUGAGACCUGAGAAGGGGAAUGGGAGGAGAGUGGUGGGCCCACACGUAGGGUGGAUCGGUGCGUGUCCACCGGAUUCGACCGCUCGUUUGGAAGGUUCCGCUCGACUGUAAAUUCAGCACCGUAAUCCCCAACGGCCGACGCAUAGCAAACCUCGAGUCCCUGACGGCCUGACCCCACCCACGCCAUCCGCGUCCGUCGUCGUCAUCAUUAUUCCCUCGGGCUUCUUUUCCGCGCCGUGCGGCGCAAAGAAAGCCCAGAUCCGCCGGGUAGGCCAGGCCCAGUUGGCCCACCGACGCUGACAAGCCCGGCCCGGCAGCGAGCAACGCUCUCGGCUCUCCCGGAGUCGUCGCGCGGUAGGUGGGGCGGCGGCGUGGACGCGUCGCCGUCACGUCGCGUGGUGCGGAGUAGUGUGCCUGCCGCGCGACGCCCGCACCCUUCGUGCCGUGCUGACCACACGACGCAUCGCAAACCACUCCUCAAUUCCCCUCUCCUCCCGUCCGCAUUCGUGUCUCCCUCAGCAGGUCGGACUUCUCGCUCUCCAAGAACUCGGCGAGGUAACUGCUCUCCACACGCCCCUUUCCCCUAUCUCUCCUCACCUCCUAGCUUCCUCUCGUCGCUGUGAAUUCGAGCUCUUCCCCCGCGAUUUUCCACGAGGAAGGUCUUCGUGGCGGGUGGCUUCCCUGAUUGAUGGAUCCGUGGGGAUCCAGUGGGCUUGAAUUAAUAUGAUCUGGGGUCAAUUGGGAUUUGGGUUGUAGCGAUUGUGGCGUAAUUGGUGAGCGGGGUGCGAUUGUCUCGGUUUCGCAUGUGCAGAUCUGGUUGGUUGUUUCUGCCGAAUUUGUUGGGAAAUUGCUGGUUCGCAAGAUGUUAGGCAACUCAGGGAUCCGGUUCGCUCCGGGUUUGGACUUGGGAGCAUGCGGGAUGAGGUUAGCUAUGCGAUUGCGUAGUUGCCCGAUCGAUGUUGGGCAAGGGCAUGCCUUGUUCCCCUUACACGAGGCUAAGGUAACCUGUUGUCCGAGAGUGUCAUGUUUAUCCUGGGGGCUCUAGCUCGUGAUUUGUCAGGAUAACCAUGCUGACCGUCCGUGGGGGCAUUGGUCAUACAGGACUUCUCCUGCAAAAUUGAUGAGGGUCAACAGAUUAAAUUAGAGGUGUUAGAUGAAAAUUAGUUAGGAGAGGUGAAGAGGGCAUUACCCAGGUAGAAGCAUCACAGUGAUACAGCAAACAUACCAGCGUGUAAUCUGUACUGAACUCCUAUGAAGGAGCGCAUGUCUUUUGCGUGGUCUCAGAUAAAGGAGUAACCAUGUAGGAGCGACCACCUUAUGCAUGAAAUUGAAAUGGCCAAUCAUUCUGUAGUUACUCUUUGGCACUGAUCAUGCCUGAAGUACAUCAAAUCUUAGUCUUAUUGGUUCUACUAUUGUCAGCCUGUAUUCAGUGCACAGUAACAAUACCAGGGCUCUUGAUGGUGCUACUUCCUUCUGCAUUUGUCAGUAGAUAAUAUUAGUAUACACGUUUACAGAAUUGCAUCGCAGUGUUUAAAUCAUACCACAAUAACAUGUCUACAGAAUAGUAUUACAAUGUUUAAAUUACACUGCAACAGGAUGUCUGUCUAUCUUAACAGUUUGCCUUAUAUGCGCAGAAAGGCUUAUGGGCUGUCUGUCUCUGUCCAUCUCUAGCUAUAUAUGAAGUUAUAUAUGAAGCAAGAAGUUAUUAAUGCCAUAUUUAGUACACCUACAUGCAUUCAUCUAGCAUGCCUCUGAAUAAGUGUUCCUAUGACAUUGCUCACUGUAUAUCAGUAUAUGGCCACUGACCAGUACCUAUUUUGAUGUUUCUCAUGUUCUCGUGUACUUCCUAUAAGAUACUACAAAAUCACAGUUAAUGAUAAAACAAGGGCCUCUGUAUUUCCUUUUCUGUUGUCUACAGAGUAAAACUAUUGUAUGCUGUUUGCAUCUUAUUUUCCUGGCCCUCAGUUAUGAUUCUGUCAAUGACACAACUACUUUUAGUAUCACUGAUGUAUAUACUAGUUUUAGUGUUCAUCAUUCUAUAUCAAAUACAUCCUGCUAUGUCGCUAAUGCUUGUCUGGUUUUGCACUUGUCAGGAUGGAAAUGUUUUUCGGCAGCUUUCUCAGUGAAUCAGCAUCAUCACAGAACCUUUUUGGCCACCCAGAUGUUGAGAGAUGCCCAUUCCUGAGAAACAUCAAUGGAGCUACAACCUUUUCAUUUACUUCUGCGUUGCCAGUAGCUGUAAGAUCUGUUUCCUAUGACCUUUUGUGUUGGCAGCGAUCACUGUCAUUGGAUCAUCAGUUCCUUGACAAUAUGUGGUAUUGUGCAGGCCCGAGGAGGCAAGGGUCCAAUUUUUGAGGAUGGACCAGGCUUUGAGUCAGCAUUCAAGCUUUUCCAUGGCAGGGAUGGAAUAGUUCCCCUUUCAGAAAGAUCGUAUGUGCCUGAUGAGAGCCACAAUGAGAACAUUAAUGUGAAGACCGAACCUGCUCUGCCGUUUAAUCCAUUGGCUGCUAGAGCAGCCACAAUAAGUCUAUCAGCAUUUGGACCAUUUGGUUUUGGCUUUUUCAACGGCAAGGGCAAAAGGCAGAACAAGAAGCCCAACAAUCUAGAUCAGUCCCACCAGAAACCCAAGACACCAGAUCAGUCUUCCAUGAAAGUUUGUUCUGACGCUUCUUUUUUCAUUAUGCAUCUCAUUUCCAUCUGAUGAUAUGCUAUAAUUUUUUUUAUUCUUUCUGUUGUAAUAUCAACCCAGGGCUCAGUAUGUACUGUCACUUAUUUUACAUUUCAUCCAAAGUCAGAACAUUUACUAGCUAUUCAUUAGAUGGCUAUAUCCAAGGGCUAAUGUAGUUGCUCAGAAAACCAUAGCUAUCUCAUUCUUCCUGCCUUUAGUUUAUCUUAUUAUCUGUAUUCUCAUUAUCUUUCCUUUGUUCUUUUCAGCAAAAGGGAGUCAACCCACCAUCACACGAGGCAUUCAGCGAAGAAUGGUUGGAAAAUGGCCAGUGCCCACUUGCGCGGUCUUAUCGGGCAAUGAGUGGUGUUUUGCCCCUUGUCGCCAAGGCUUUACAGCCACCAGCUGGUAUGAAGCUGAAGUGCCCACCUGCUGUGGUUGCUAUCCGAGCCGCCCUUGCACGAACUGCACUUGUGAAAUCCCUCCGACCGCAGCCACUGCCUGCAAAGAUGGUAGCCAUUGCACUACUGGGAAUGGCAGCAAAUAUCCCUCUUGGUGUCUGGAGGGAGCACACCAAGAAGUUCUCUCCUCAGUGGUUCGCAGCUGUCCAUGCUGCUGUUCCCUUAAUUGCAAUGCUGCGGAAGUCUGUUGUGAUGCCCAGGACUGCGAUGGCAUUCACCAUAGCAGCCUCCAUUAUUGGUCAGACUAUUGGGUCAAGGGCCGAGCGCAUCCGUCUGAGGAAUCUGGCUGCAAUGGGUGCUGUUAAUGCUACAACAACUGCUGCCAUGUAUCCAAACAAGAAUGGGAAUUGCAGCGACACUGAGGGCAAGGCAUGGGAUCCCCUCGAGACAAAGAUGGCUGGCUCAGCUGCUAGGGGUGCACCUGCGCCAACCACUAGCAUGUGCUUCUGAUUGUGCUGUGCGUGUAAUUCACAGAAAUGCCUGCAGAGAUUAUGCCUCAACUACUUUAUAGUGUCAUGUAAUUGCCUUGCUUGUCCCUGAAAACUGAGCUGUCCGUGGGGCGAGACGAGUGGAAUAAGAGGUGCGUCAGUACCAAUAUGGCAGUGUGGUAUGUUAUUAUGGUCGGGGCUGAUGCACGUGUAUGCAAUUUGGUGCUGCUGUAUUUCCAUUUAAAAUUAUAGCGUCGGAUUAAAGAAAAGUCUUGAUGAACCAUUGUGCGAGCUAUUGUGGGAGCUUUGUGUCCUCUUGCGUCUGUUUGUUUUUGCCAAAGUGCCAAUUCCAUUGCUGAAUCAAAAAUCUUUUCUGAUAGCUGAGAUCAAGCUUUCACAUGUUCUUGGGAGAAGUUGGGGGAUGUGCAGUUUUAAAUCAUCUGGUUCUGCUUUGUAUCAUGUAUCUGUUAUGAAAUGUGGUGCUUCUGACGCUGAAGAGCCCUGAAAUUAUAAACUUCAACAUGUGCGGGGGGUAAAAUGUAAUCCCUGAUCAUUUCCUUGCCGGCACUGCUUUAUGUCUAACUUGAGAUAGCAUAGCAACAUGCAGAGAAUUUGCUGUAUGUAACCUGGGGCUUCAAUUCUAUUGCUCAUUUUUCCUGUGCAAGUUCUCGUUUUGUUUCUGAAGCUCGUUCAGUCCGUGUUGGUCUGCUCUGAAUGUUUGCUGGAACUGCGAUAUUGUGACUACUUGCUUGACGAAGAGUAUGCCUUACCAAUUCGAGAUGUGCCUGAAGCAGUGUACUCGCAUGUCCACCCUUCUUCUGCCAUUCAGAACCACGACAUACAAAAUCCAGCAUCGGACACUGUAUACGCACAGAGAGUUCAAACUGCUCAAGGACUUAAGAGGACGUCGGGUUAUGUUGCGACCAGUAACCGCUAGUGCGAACUGGGAACAAAGACUCCGUGGAACUGGCAGUCUGGCACCCGAGCUGAGUCUCCACCGUAAGAUAUCAGAUAUCGCCUGCCUCAACGAUGCAGAUGGUAGACAUGGCAACCAUGAACCAUCCCAAUCGUGUUCAACGCCAUAUCAGCAAGCAGGAAUCUAGCGGCAGAAACGUGUUAUGCUGGAGGAGUGCUGGACCACCCACGUGUGGAAUGGACCGGACGGACGGCUCAGGGAGGCUCACGUUUUCCGGUCAAAAACGAUGAAUUUCCAGCAGUUCUGAAUUCUGAUCUUCUUCUUCCCGUUCACCGGCUUGACUGUAAGUGGGUGGAUGCGACCGUCUUUCGUCCCGGGUCCUGCACAUUCCUGCUCCCUCUCCACCACCAGAUGGCAAUUGACAACAUGGUCACCUUUUUUAUGCAUGGCCACUCUUCUUCAGCCAUUUGUUCUCCAGUAGACUUGGAUUGAUCAGAGAUCCUGGCAAGUGGCAACGUCGCCAAAGCAAAUUCCGCCACCGGAUCCAUCCAUGUCCGGGCCCGACACACGAACUGGCUCGUGGGCCUCCAGAUGAACGCCCCCUUAAUACCUCUCACUCUCAGGAAGUGUUGGGGUGUGUAUUUGAAAAAUAGAUAUAAUAAAAGAAUUAAAGUGUAAAAUACUAAGAGUAAAUAGAUAUAGGCAGAGAAUGAUCGAAAGACCGAUUGAUUCAGAACUUUUCCCCAUCUACCUGUUCAUGGCUGAGCCUGCUCUUCUUCCCAAUCACAAAUCUCUACUAGAUCCACCCUUUAAUCUUCAAUGGAAAGAAAAAAAAAAUCUGAGUGAUCCGAAACUAGAUUGUCAGCGUGUGUAACCCCCUCGAGAGAAAAAAAAAAGGCGGCGUUCAAAGGAAGCAUGGAGACAGGGACAACAGAAAAUGACGAGAUCCACAGUCUUCCUGCUACCACGCCUGCUAAUGGGAUUGUAAUCCAACCGACACCAAUCCACAUCAAGCUCACCCCAUAUUUAUAUUGUCUAAAUCCAAACCAAUCCACCUACUAGUUGAUGAUAGAACCCAUAGGUUUGCUAUAAAAAAAUCAUGGUUUGCUAUAUAAACCUAUGAGCUCAUAUAAAAAACUCCUAUAUAUUUGAAAUAAAUGUGAGUUCGACAUGUGGGUCCUAUGUCAAGAGCCGGACUCUAAAACUAAAACAUCAUGUUCACGCCUUAAAAUUUUAACGAAAUUGAUCGAAAUUUAUUGAAGAUGACAGAGUUUGACUGUCCGCUACUUUAUGCUAAAUAGUAUAGCUAAACAUACAUUUAGACCCGCAUUACGAGUCGGACCUUAGAAUUAAAAUCUCACGUUCACACCUAAAAAUUUUAGUGAAAUUCAUCAAAAUUUGUUGGAGAUGACUCAAUUUGACUGCCCACUGCUUUGUGUAAAAUAGUAUGGCUAAACAUACAUGUGGGUGUCGCGUCAAGAGUCGGAUCCUAGAAUUAAAACCUCGCAUUCACACUUUAUAAUUUUAGCGAAAUUGAUCGAAAUUUGUCGAAGAUGACUCAAUUCAAGUGUCCGCUACUGUGUGCAAAAUAGUAUAGCUGAGCCCCACAUUAAGAGUCGGAUCCUCGAACUAAAACCUCCUUUUCACACUUUAAAGUUUUAACGAAAUUGAUUGAAAUUUGUUGGAGAUGAUUUAGUUUAAUAAUUAACUACUUCAUGUGAAAACGUAUAGUUGGACUUAUACAUGGGCUCAUAUCAAGAAUUGGAUCCUAAAAUUAUUUCGUGAAUCAAACUAAUGCAACCCACUCUAAACCACUCCCAAACUAUUUCCUCUUAGGAGUAAUCCAAACCAAACCAACCCAUUUGAUAAAUCAGUCUAUUAAUAACCAAUCUAAACAACUUCCAAAAGAAACCUAAUCCAUUGAAACCAUUAAACCCAAUCCAAUUAGCAUGAAUGCCUGCUACCACCGGUAGUGGUUUUGAAUCCCUAACCAAGUAACCAUUCCUUUUCAUUUCUUCCGUGCAGAACGUGGAACCCAUCGACGAUCACACGUUGGGGCCUUUCGCUGUCAAAAUCAGCACAUGAUAACCGUUAAACCCGUAGCCGGCAUGUGCAGAAACCCGGUGAAAUUUCUACGUACUCCUGGUGCGCUUACUUUUCCACUGUAUCAUCCUGUACCUUCCCCCUCUACCUUUUGGAGCACGUAAUAUAGUAGAAGAUGUAAAAAGAAUCCUUUGAAAAAGUUACAAAGUCAAAUAUGCUCACAUGUCAAAGCGUUAGGCUCUUGCUUUUCCUUCUUGAUUAUUCCCCGCUCUACCUGCUUCUUCUCGAUGUGACGGUAUACUUGAUCCAGUGAGUAAUCGCCCCUCCUAUCGCCACGACACAGCAUAUAUGCAGAGAGGGCAGCCAACCACUCCAGCGACACUUGCCGAGUAUGUACCAUGUCGCUACCAGUACUACGGACCACCAGUCGCCUUCGCCUCAGCACGAUGACGUGCACAUCCAAAUCAAAAGGCUACUGGAUGGAUGAAGGCCCCAAGUUGAAGUUGACUUGUAACAGUGGCUUGGCGCUCUCUUCGAGCAGUACUAGCAGGAGAGAGAAAGGUAGGGAAGCAAUGCCAUACGCUGGAGCAAAAAAUUUCAUGGGUGAUCCGGUAGCACCUGGAGCCCAGUUGAGCGAAGGGUGCUCUGGUAGAAAGGACAGCAUGUUUGUCAAGGAAAAGAACUGUGCUUUGCAUAGUUGUUGAUAUAACAUGUAGGCCCUGUAGAAAGGACAACAUGUUACGAGGAAAUGGUGUUAGGAUACUUGGUGCUAAACUUUAGCGGUGUCACAUCGGAUGUUCAUAUACUAAUUAGAAGGACUAAACAUGAGCUAAUUACAAAACUAAUUGCAGAAACCUAUGCUAAUUCGCAAGAUGAAUCUAUUAAGCCUAAUUAAUCCGUCAUUAGCAAAUGGUUAUUGUAGCACCACAUUGUCAAAUCAUGGACUAAUUAGCCUUAAUAAAUUCGUCUCGCGAAUUAGACUCCAUCUGUGCAAUUAGUUUUGUAAUUAACCUAUGUUUAACACUCUAAUUAGCAUUCAUGGACUAAUUAGCCUUAAUAAAUUCGUCUCGCGAAUUAGACUCCAUCUGUGCAAUUAGUUUUGUAAUUAACCUAUGUUUAACACUCUAAUUAGCAUUCAAACAUCCGAUGUGACUGGUGCUUAAAUUCAAAGUGGGACCACGAUUAGCACAUGACAAGAAAAACGCUCGUUUUUCGCUGGACCAGCUACCUGUGGCGUGGGCGCGUGGCUUCCUUUACCUUCAGGGAACAGCCUAUACGCUGCUCCUGCUCUUCCAGACCCGGCGCUUGCUUUCUGAACCCUGACCAUGAGUCCAUGACCAACAACCUCUUGGACGAGCCAGAGGAGAGAGAACACUCCAAGAAAUCGCUUCGGGGACCUGUUGGCUUGUUGCACUCCGCUUCCGGCCCAAGAAAAGCGCACGAUCGAUGACCCAGGGAAAACGUCACGGAACCGAGAGGAAUUCCGCGUCGCGUUUUUAAAAAUCUGUGCCGCACAGGCCAAGUGACGGCUCGUCGGCCGCCCCCCGUUGCUUGGGCCUUGGCCUUGCCUUUGCUUCGCGCAUCCGUACAUCACACCUUACGUCCGCCGCCGCCGUGUGGACUCGCCCUCGCCCUCGCGCGGCCGCGGCCGACGUGGUCCGCGCGCCCGCCGCGCACUAAACUACUAUGCGGUAAGCGCCGGUGGAUUUGGCCGUCCAAGCUACCGGCGCUGAGCACCGUCUUUCUGCCGUGAAGAAAAGGUCACCGCACUUUCGAUUCGUCAAGAUAUGCACGUACAGUCACGGAACAAAUAGUCAAGAGGCAUGUACAUGUACAAGCCAGGUACUACAAAGACACAGUGACACAAGCAACUGGCCGGCCGGGUCGACGAUGAACGAGUACUCUAACUAACCGAAAAAGCCACCGGCCGAAAAAGAUUCUGGACGCGCGGCAAAAGAAAGCACGCAACCUUUUUCGCUACGUGCCUAACAGUGCGUUCCGAUCCGAGGCGCCACGGGGGUGUGACCAAGUGUGAUACGUACGAGUGCGACCGCGGCACGUUUCUUCGUGUCCAAGGCCUCUCUCAUCACAUCGGAGUGGCUGGCUGGCUCGCUCUCAUCGGCCAGUUCGCACGCGGGCAAUCCACCGAAAAGCCCUGACGUGAACGCCUCUUCCUUCACACAUGGCCGUGUCCAGUCACGCACACAAACCCAUCUCGUCAGCGCGCACGCACGGCCCCGCCUCGGCUUAUAUACCAGCACGUACGUGCGCGUAGGGGUGGAAUUUUUUUUAGCUCGUCUCUCGAUCGAUCGAUCGAUCGCCAUGACGCUUACGAGGCACGAAGCGGAGGACAGAAGGGAGAUGGAGGGGCUCCGGGCGGACGCCGUCGCGCGGCUCUCGCUGUCGUCGUCGCCUGAGUCUUCUUCUUCGGCGGCGGCCGGCGGCGACAGGCCGUCGUCGUCGUCUGCCGCGAGCAGGAAGGCCAUGGCGGCGGAGGGCGUGUUCGAGUGCAAGACGUGCAGCAGGCGCUUCGCCUCGUUCCAGGCGCUCGGCGGGCACCGGACCAGCCACACGCGGCUGCAGGCGCGGAUGCUCAGCGACCCGGCGGGCGCGGCGGCGGCCGCCGAGAGGGACAGGGCGCGGGUGCACGAGUGCGCCGUCUGCGGGCUCGAGUUCUCCAUGGGCCAGGCGCUCGGCGGGCACAUGCGCCGCCACAGGGGGGAGGCGCCGCCAGCCUCGCACGACGGCGCCGCGCAGUCGGGGCAGGCCAUGCCGGACCUCAACUUGCCGCCGUUGGAGGACGGCGACGGCGGCCAAGAUCAACAACAAUCGGCUGAUCGGAGCUCGGAGCCUCAGCUGCUCAACCUGCUUGUAUAGCUAGCCUAGCGUGCACAGCAUAUUACAUAUGUGCAUGGUGAUUCUAUGGUGUACAGUACAUGAGUGGUGAUUAAAUUUUCGGAACCUGAAAUGACAUGAAAUUAUACAUUAACUGUAGCUUCGUUUCAUAGGUUAAGUCCUUCUUAAUUCGGUAGGUUUUCCUUUUGUAAAGCUGUUUGUCGACUGUAAUUCGUUUGUUGUAAGUAAAAUUGUCCAUAUAUUAUCUGACAGCUUGCUGCCUCAAUUAGUGGUUCGGUGGAGAUUGUUAAUUGUACGAGUCUAUCAUUCAGUUUUCCUAAAAAGAGGUGGAAGUGUUUCCGAUGCGAGACAAAAAUAUUCCCAGAAAAUCACAGCAAAGAGCUGAUGUUGUGUUUGUGGAAUUUGUGAUUGGACCUAUCAUCUCGUCUUCUUCUCUACCGUCGGUUGGCGUGGCCCUUCACCACCACACCUACCCGUCAUGCCGCCUCAUGUGCAGGUGCAAGCAUCUCUGUUCCGCGCCCUUCCUUCCCUUUUCUCUGCACGCAUUACUACCGUCCUAACCCUGUCUUCAUUGGCGUCGUGCCCUGCACGCCGCUCCCUUCCUUCCCCUUCCUUUACACACCAUCAUUACCGUCCUAACCCCCACCUCUGCUGGCGGCGUGCCCCGCAUGCCGCGCCCUUCCCCCUUCCGCUACACGCCAUCAUCGACGUCCUAACUCCGCCUCCGUUGGCGUCGUGCCCUGCAUGCGGCGCCCUUCCUUUCCCUUCUUCUACAUGCCAUCAUUGCCAUCCUAACCCCGCCUCUGUUGGCGUCGUGCCUUGCACGCCGCGCCCUUCCUUCCCCUUCCUCUACACAACAUCAUCGCCAUCCUAACCCCCGCCUCUUUUGAUGCCGUGCCCUGCAUGCCGCGGCCUUCUUCCCCUUCCUCUACACGCCAUCAUCGCCGUCCUAAUCCCGCCUCUUUUGGCGCCGCGGCCUUCCUUCCCCUUCCUCUACACGCCAUCAUCGCCAUCCUAACUCUGCAUCUGUUGGCCUCGUGCCCUGCAUGCCGCGCCCUUCCUUUCCCUUCCUCUACACGCCAUCAUUGUCGUCCUAACCCCACCUCUAUUGGUGUUUUGCCUUGCACGCCGUGCCCCUCCUUCCUCUUCCUCUACACGCCAUCAUCACCAUCCUAACCCCGUCUCUAUUGGCGUCGUGCCCACGCGCGCCCUUCCUUCCCCUUCAUCUACACGCCAUCAUCGUCGUCCUAACCCCGCGCACUGCUAAUCAUGGCAGCUUGUCAUCCCCGGCACCAACUUCCAGCUGUAUUCUACUGCUCUGGCCAGCGGCUCCCACCAUCUUGUCUCAGUAAACCGACCAUCCAAGCUCCUUUCUAAGUCAGAGGAUAGCAAAUAAACCCAACCCCCACCCUAAAACUCGAACCCAUCAACAUCUUAAUGGUGCAAUGCUCCUAAGGCAGCAUCACUAAUAUAAAAACCAAUGGAAGAAAACGAAACGGAUCUGACAUCCAACGGUGGACACAUGUAUCUAAGAUAACUUAGGCUCUCUUUUUUCAAAGAUGAAUAAGAACCCGGUUAAGAGUUGAUAAAAGUCUAGGCUGAACUGAAAAGUCCAAUUACCGUUACCGUUCACCUUUUUUUUUAAAAAAGUAGGCCGUUCACUUUUUAUUUGGGAAAUUUUGCAUUUUUAUAUAUAUUUUUUUCGAUUUUGCAGAAAUAUAUAGUCGGAUGAAAAAAUUGCAAAACUAGGCUAUUGUCGCCGGCCCAGUAGGCUUUUUUUCAUCCGACUAUAUAUUUCUGCAAAAUCAAAAAAAAAUAUAUAAAAAAAUAAAAAAAGUUCUUUAUUUAGGAACUUCGAGAGAAUCUGUGGCCCAACUCUUGCUUUCGCGAUAGUUGGGCCAAACAUUUUAGGCAGCUCGAGUCCUGCCGGGGCUUCUGGGAACUUCUUGAGCGUGUCACAGGCUCACAUCCUCACACACAGGCCACUGACGGCGCCACAGCAGCUCAUCGCCGGCUCGCCGCCACCACCAACCACCGUUGCUUCCUCGAGCCCAAUGCCAAAGCUUCCCCAAGCUUGCCACCGUUGCAAGACUGCUAGUCUGCUACCGCUCCGAUCUCGUAGUCAGGAAAGGGACUGGUGUGAGAGGAAAUGGAUCAAAAGUAGGGAGAGCUCAGAGCUGACCAUGGGGACCGGUGCUGAUGUGGAGGCAGACAAGAUGGAAAGAUGAAGUACCAGUAGGGGCAAAAUUGUCCAAUUAUUAGGCUCCUAUUUUUGCCAAGCACACCCCCAAAUUUACAGCUUCACCCAGAGCCUCUUCCCGUAGGAGCCAUCUCCUAGCUGGGGUAAGACGAAGGAAAAGGAAUGCAGUACAGUCGAGUAGGGUACUGCUUUCCCGAGAUUCCACACAUCUCAGAACUGGGAGGAAUCGGAGGACGAGAAGUAAUGAUAGCAUUACGAUUUGGCACCGUGCUACCAUGUACCGUGGAUCACGCGGCCAGCUACCACGGCUCGCAUUCAUAAUCACGCCUAACGUUACGUUAACACUUGGAACUGACAAGUGACAACCCCAUUAGCACAGCAUAAAUCAGGUUACAGGACAGUAUCAAGUUCAGACAACGACGCAGCACAGGCACAGCACACAUAUUGACAGGGCUCACUUCACUCGGAGAAUCACAGGCAGGAUCUAGCAAGCAGAUGGAAACAAACUGGACUACAGGACAGUUAUCUACUGUUCCCCACGCAAGAAGCCACGCAGGCGCCGCCACCACUCGAUCGCCAGCUCGCCGGGAUGACGGCCGCAUGCCACCGGCGACGAGGACGCAGUCGUCAUCCCUUGUUAUUAUUCCCCUGCGCGGUGCAGGAGAUGACCAGGUAGCCGCCGUCUCUCUUGGCCUUGGGCUUCCGCGGGAUGCAGCGGUCAUGCAGGUCCCCGGCCUCCUUGGCCAGCUCCAGCUUUAUCACCCUGCCAGACAGACGCAUGGUAGUAAUAGUAGAGUUCAGCACGACUCGGAUCAUCAUAAUCAUCACCGUAUCACUAUCUCAUCAUCACUAUUCUCGUACGCCGUCACUCACAUGGCAGUAGAGUAUAGUACUCUAUACUACGAUCUCUCAUUUCCAUGCGCUAGUGAAUGUAGAUUGUGCCCACGCCUAAUUAGGGCUCUGUACGACUGGACCACGGAUUAAAAGCGGGGUUUGAAAUUCCUGACAAAGGCUGCUGUUACAGGCUCACAUCAUGACAUCAGGUUACUCUUUCAAGAACUGCGCAGUAGUACUGCAGGUUUAUGAGUAGCUUCAGGCUAAUCCUUCUGAAACGUAGAGCGUACGCGCGCCAAAAGCAGGAUGAACCAAAUGAUUUGGUGCUCCCGAUUACCGGAGCCCCGAUCCUGCCCGGCUCGCACGGAACGGGAGCAGGUCGCCAGGUCCCCCGGCCGAGAAUUGAAGCCCACCCGUUCCUGAUGAAAUUCUUCGCUACCCCUCGUCCCCGCGAUCAGUGCGGCCGUGAUGCCUGGUGCGCGACAGCUCCACGAGACCUACUUCUAUUUAUGGAGGUGACCACUAAUGGAGGCUGGAUGGAGCGUAUCUCGCGCGUACGGCAAUGGCGUGGUGGGUUCAGCUGCGGCGAUGACGAUGAGCAGAGCCAGAGCCAUUACUGCCGAUUACGACAGGGCGGUUCAAUGCAACAGUGGCAGCUCAUCCUUACUACUACUGCCAUCCAUGAGAGGCGUCUCGCGUAAGCGACGGAUCGGUGAUCCGGGCGCUUGCUGCGGCUUGCGUCGUCGCGUCAAUUAUGAUUACGAGAGGGAUGGAUUUCUUUUUUUCUUCACCUGUCUGCGUUGUACGACGACGACCGCCGGAGAACGGCGAGGUCCUGGGACGUGUCGUCGUCGCCCGACGAGCGCUUCGCGGUCUCGAUGAUGCUCCCGCUGAAGUACUCCUUGUCCUCCACGAUCUUCGCGCGGUAGGUCGGCACCUCCGCGGCCGCCGACGCCGGCGGGCGGGGCGGGCGCGCGCGGUGGCGGUGGUGGUGGAGGUUGUGGUGGUGUCGCGCGCGCGGCAUCACCGGGGAAGCACGCGCGUCGCGCACGGACACGGACCCGCACGAGAUGAGCUGCAUGAGCACGGAGGGUGCCCGGGCCCGGCCGCUGCCGCUGAUGGCCGCCACGACGCGCCCGUCCGCCUUGAUCAGCGCCUCCAGCGUCUCGGGGCUCGUCGACGCCGUCGGCGGUGACGUCUCCGCCCGGCUCAGCUCGUCCUGCGGCGCGGCGGCCUGGGCAUGGGCGCGCCUAGGGUGUCCGCGGCCGCCGUCCUCGGUCUGCGUCGCGGCGUCCGCGGCGCACUCCUCACCCUUGUACACGACGUACUCACCGAGCCCAUCGGCCGCGCGGCGCGCGCCGGCGCUCUUCUUCCGGUGCGCGUGCGCCUCCCACCUGGCGGAGGACGAGGAGGUGGGCGUCUCCUGCGAGCCGGAGGACGACGAGGACGCGGCGGCCGCGUCGAGCAGCGGGGCCGGCGGCACCGCCGGGUGCAGGCGCUCGGUGCCCUUGAGCACGUACUCCCGGCCGACCACCGGGUGGAUGUAGUCGUCGUCCGCCAGGUCGUGCCACACGAACCCGUUCCGGUAGCUCCUGCAUUGCAGUUGCAGCAAUGAACACAUGUCACGGCGUGGUGCACCAAACUCGUGACGAAAACGAGAAGCACUCGCGCAGACACCUACCUCUUGGAUGCCCACGAGUACAUGCGCGCCAUGCCCUUGCCUCGCAGCGCGUCGAGCCGGUCGAUCACAUCUACGCGCACAGAACGAAGCAAUGGCAACACGUUACAGAACGCUCAACGAACGCCAUUGAAACGGAAGGCGAAAUGCCAUGAGAACGAAGCAUGUGUGAGCAGAGCAUUGGUACCUCGGAGGUAGAGGCCGUCGGGGCUGGAGAGCGCGACUUCCAUGAAGUGCGGGUGCUCGAGGUGCCCGUUCCUCGACAGGUAGUACACGACCGCCGGCCUCGGCCGCGGUGGCCUCGGCGGCGCCGCCGCCAAGUCGGGGCUCCUCGGCUCCUGCUCCCGCCUCUGCAUCCUUGCCUGCUCCGCUCUCGCCCUGCUGCCCGCCACCACCACCGCCAUGCGCUCUCUCUGCCACUGAGUAAAUUGAUGCGCGGCAGCUGGCGUCUCUCCUCGCUCGCUCGCUAGAGCUCGUAGCGUUUAAAUGGCGCGAGUGCGACACAAGGGGAGGUGCGAAAGGGAGGGCUCAGGGGCGCAGCGCGCAGUGCACUGCAAGAGGCAUUCAAAUCGUGUGCCAGGACCAGCGUGGCGGCUCCUGCAAACCGCAGCGCUUUUGCGUGGCUUGGUGCACACUAAUGACCGCAGUGAAAUUAAACUGUGGAGCCUGUGGCUGGAGGAAAAAGGAGCUGAGAAAGCUUGGUAGGAAAGAACUCUUUGCGAUCUUGUUGCUUUCUCCUUGGUUCCUCUUUCCUUGGCGUCCUUGAGGUCAACUGGACGCCGGAAGCAGCAGUGCGUUUUGUUUGGCAGAAGACUGUCCUGCUGGUUAAGUACUGUACUGCUUCUAUCUGGUAUAGUUAAGAGGAGCCUAAUUGCUGUCGGUGUUGACUAGGUAAUGACUAAUAAGGCUUGCCGGCUGUCAAAGACUGCCUAGUCUAGAGGACGGUGAAAAUGGCAGCUGGUUUGGCGCUGCCAAGGCAGUUGUUUUAUGCUUGCCCCUUCGACUCGCGAGGCCCACGCAAACACGAGUCUGGGGCACGGCGAAUCGGCGCUGACCAGACGAGCCGGCGAGUCCAAGUGCCACAGUCCCUGGUCCAAGUCCAAGGCCUAUCACAGUCGCACUGUAAAAAAGAGGCUUAGAGGGGUUCGGAUCCUGAGGUUAAAAUUUAAUCCGUGUCAUAUCAAAUAUUUGGAAGCUAUUUAGGAGGAUUAAAUAUGAGUUAAUUAUAAAACUAAUUACAUAGAUAGAGGCUAAACGGCAAGACGAAUCUAUUAAGCCUAAUUAAUCCAUCAUUAACAAAUGGUUACUGUAGAAGCACAUUGUCAAAUCAUGUACUAAUUAGGCUUAAUAGAUUCGUCACGCUGUUUAAUCUCCAUCUGUGUAAUGAGUUUUUUUAAAUAAUUUAUGUUAAUUAGGAUCUAAAUAUUCGAUAGUUCCUUAGUCCGCGAAUCAAACACCUCUGAAUAGUCCGCGAAUCAAACACCUCUGAAUAGUGUGUACUUCGAGUCCAGACCGUUCCAAGUUUCCAACGAUUUGUUUAGUGGCUCUGAGGUUCCAUGUCCGAUGCAUGCCCCGUGGCGUGGCCGCGCACCAUUACAUAAUAAUCCGUGCAUCAUGUGAGCCGCCCGAGCACGGGUACGCCGCGCCGAUGUUGGUAAUAACAUUUGGAAGCAUUUGCGUGCAGGCGAAGGCUGCAAUCCCUGUCCUGCCCACUUGGGGCCUCCGAGUUCCAACCCGCUGCUCUGCUGCUGCAUUCCUGCAUGGGAGCAGGCGGGGACAAGUAUGCUAAUCCGAGCCACGUGACAAGGAUCAGGCAGGACCACGCUAACAGGACUAGGGGCGGUGCUGAGGAGGAGCCACAAUUUGGUCCAGUUUGGUUGGGUUUUUUUUGUGCUCGAACUUCACCUGCCACCGGCUACUGUAGCAUGUCGGUAGCCUCAAGAAGCCGAAGCUAGCAGGUUUGUGAGGGGGAGGAGAAAGAGAGAGAAAAGAAGCUCCACACUAUAGUAAAUGAACAAUAGAUGGUUAGAAGGAGCCGCAUUCAGGAGGUUCUCCACCAAACUGACUCUUUGUGCCUCCUUCGGCUCCUCCGCCGGCUAUGAGAGGGAGAGGAGGAGAGAGAAAUUUAAUUGUAAUGAACAGUGCACGAACAGUAGAUGAACAGUGCGGUGUCGGAGCCGCGCCAAGGCGCCCUGGUAUAUCCCGAGAUAAUCCGAGCCCGCUUAGGGUCGGUCCCCAGUGGUCAGGCAGCUGUGAUUAACCACCACUCCACCAGGCGAUUAUUUACUGGAUCGAGAGCGGAGGGGACAGGCGGUGAGGACAAGCGGGAGACUCCACCGGCUACGGAAUGAGGCGGGCAACCGCAGGUGCGGAAAGCGAGAGCGCACGACGGGCGGGCGGCGACACCGGGGGCGGGGAGGGAGCUCGCGGGGCGCGCGGGGGAUCGAGACUGCGUUUGACUCACGGCGGAGAUGGACGGGACGCGCCACCGCCGGGCCGUUCCGGCGUUCGAGAUCCGCCGCCUCGUGUGGAGUUGUUUUCGCCUUUUCACAGCUCGUCUUUACCGCGCCCGGUAAGCGUAGCGCAGCGCACUGAUUAACCGCUGUGGUGGCCGGUGGUCGAGGCGGGCAAUCGAUCGAUCGCGUUCACGCUGCCGGUAUCGAUGUCAGAGGCACCUCAGAAGCUCAUCGUACUGGGCUCGACACUUUUCUUUUGUACCCUACAGAUGAGCGGAUUUGGCGGGAUACAAAAGGAAAAAAAUGCAUGUAGCUGCUGGCAUGUGAUCUAUAGCUCGGAGCAAAGUCCACAUCCGUUGCGUCGCACAGGUUUCCAAGCGCAGCAAAUCACCGAGGUUUUAGUUUAGAGCUGGAAGCUUGUGGGUAGGCGUAGGCGUCGCCGCGCAGCACAGCAACCAGCAAGACGCCACUUGAGCAAUGCACGGGUUGAGGACAGAGUCAUGCGACGCGUAUCGUCCGGUCUUGCGAGGAGAAGAAGCCGACGAGGCCAGAAUCACGGAGGACGUAACUCUUGCCACUGUUCCGUUAGCUGUUUGCUACGGCCGCCCUUUUUUCACGCACCGCGUUGGUCCAGCGCACGCCUUGACGGGAGAGGACAAAGGACGGGAUCUGAUCGGUUACCUUCGAUGCGAUCGGGUACAGGCGGUUGCAGAGAACAUGCGCGGUAGGAGGACGGUUUUUUUUUUCUUUUUCUUUCAGAGGAUCUCAGAGUCAGAGUCCAGAACUGCUGUUAGCUUGUCACCUGCUCUCUCCCUGGUGCGUGGGCCCAAAGCGCCGCCUAGAUUAGCUCACAGAGGCCCAAACAAAAGGCCGGAAGUGCAUUAAACAAAUAGAAUACUAGUGAAGAAGAAAGAAGCGUGCAGGCCCAUGAAGGCCCGUCCACACCUGUCGCCAGGCCUGUUCGACUCAUGAAUCGAAUGGCAGGCGAGCCCAAACCUAGCUAGCGCAUCAGGUCCGCCGCACUAAGCCCGCUCGCAAACCCCUCACAACCCUCGCCGCCGCCGGCCGCUCCACCCCCGCCGUCGCCAUGGGCAACUUCCGCAAGCUCGGCCGCCCCGCCUCCCACCGCGUCUCCAUGCUCAGGUGUUCCUUUCUCCCACCUCGACGCCCCUAUCUAUGGCUCGGCACCGCCUUGCCGCUGACCUCUGGAUUUGUCUCCUCGGCAGGACGAUGGUGUCGCAGCUGGUGAAGCACGAGCGCAUCGAGACCACCGUCGCCAAGGUACUCUCUUUCGCAUCUUGUUGCUUCGUCGAUAGGCCGGUGGGAUUUGUGUUCUAGGAGCUGUGAUUGUUGACUUGAGUGCCCUGCCCUUCAUUUGCGUGGUUGGUUUCAGGCGAAGGAGGUGCGGCGGAAGGCGGAUCAGAUGGUACAGCUCGGGAAGGAGGUAAACGGAACACCACUCCUCUGUUGCUAACUGAAUUCCAUCCUGAAAUAUCGUGCCAUUCCGUGGUAUCGAUGAAUCUAUGUGGAGCAGUGGGUGUAAAACAACCUAACAGUCAUUUCGUUAAGUUCGCACAUAGAUUGGAAACAAUUGUAAGCAUGGAAUCACUUAGCGUUACUACUCCUGGACUCUCAAUUAGCAGUGUAGAAUUCAGAUUCAGGGAUGUGUCUUCAUGAGACGGGUAGGCAUUGUUGCUUAACUUGGAGGUGGAGUGGUGGACACCAUUAGUUGCUGAUUAGCACUUUAGAAAUAGUAUUGCCUGUCUACUGUUUGACAUUAAUCUUUAAUGAAAUCUCAGUGAGAUGCUUAGAAGUAGCUUCUUUAUAAGUAAAUUCAAAUGUUGAAGUCUCUCAGCUCUUGUCGAAGAACUGAUCGAUGACAAUGAUGCUAUCAGACCAAAAUAUGUUGAUUUCUGGCAUAGAAGUUACUCCCUAUCUUUUUUUUUGAAUUUUUAUUUACUCCCUGAUAUGUUAUUAUUUCGUAAAAGGGACAAAUUUUUUUUGCAAUGCCUUUAUCUUGAAGUUUAUAUGCAGCCCAAACUUUUGUCUGACCUGGGUUUCACGUUGAUUUUGGUAACACUGUCUCGAAGCUAAAAAUGCAGAAACUUAUGCCGUAUAUCGACACAAAUAUGUAGGGUACUUUGGAUGCGGCAAGACGUGCUUCUGCCUUUGUUCGGGGUGAUGAUGCUGUUCAUAAGCUAUUCACAGAGCUGGCCUACCGCUACAAGUAAUCUAUUUUACCUACCCAUGGAUCUGCUUAAUUUAGUAUAGUCUGGCGUACCUACAUUUGAUUUGUUACUUCCUCUUUUUCAAAAUAGGUCUCAUGUUGAUGUCUAAAGUAGACAACUAGGCAUAAAAUAGCAUGAGUAUCAUAUCAGUAUUUGAUGUUUUUUUCUCCAGAUCCUUAGUAAACUUCAUUCAGUGAAGGAGUAUGAUGCUUUGUAUGAUAAGACAAAUGAGAAAAGUAGAAAUAGAUUGCUGUAUAUUUGGAAGCAGAGUGGAUUGGAACUAAUUGUAUGCUCCUUUUAUAUCCCAGGAAUCGAGCUGGUGGAUACACAAGACUUUUACGCACCAGGAUACGUGUUGGUGAUGCUGCAGAAAUGGCUUACAUCGAGUAAUAUACUUUCUCUAUAUUUUUAGCAGCAAAAUGUGUUUGGCCUACACCAACUUGCUUGGGACUAAAAAUCUUUGCUGCUGCUGUUGUUAUUUCUAUGAGAAAAAAAAUAAUUUCUAGGAUAUCUUUUCCACAUGGUGCUGCUAUCUUGCACAUAUCAAAAGUAAAAAUUUUAUUUUCUGCACUACCUUUAGUAAUCGUUCCUGCUGGUUAACCAAUUAGGUCUUAGAGAUUUAUACUUCCAUUGUUACUGUCUGUUACUAUUUACAAAUCCCUUGAUAUGUUUUAGAAAUCUGCCACGUUCUAACAGUACAGAAAAGUUUUGGAUCCCUCGAAUUACUUUAGAAACCAAUAUGGUUCCACCCAAGCAUGCGGCUUUUCUUUACAUCGUACAUCGAACACUGAAUGGACAAUUUUGGCGCUAUUUCCUGCUCUUUCUGUAGGUCACUGUCAAAUCUUUUCUGAGUUAAGCUAUAUACUGUGAUGAACAGUUCAAUUUGAAUUUACUAGCAUAGCAGCAACAUGUCAUAUACCAGUUUUCGGAAGCCUUGUAGAGAUGCGGUACUUAUCGGUUACAUAUGCAGGUUCGUGGACAGGGAGAAUGAGCUUCGAGAGGCCAAACCUGCAACCCCACAGCCGCCCCAACGAGCCCCUAUGGAUCCGUGGGCCAAGUCUCGUGCUAGCCAACAAUGGGCAGGACCAAAGCUCACCAAGAGCUCCGGAUCAGACGGCUUAUGAGGACAAUAGCAGGCGUAUCCAUGUUCUGAAUGAGGCUUCAUUUAUUUGCUUGAUAUGCAGAUGGGAUUCUUUUUUUUGGUUUAGAGAUACCUGGCAAUAGAAUAAUUCAAAUUUGUAUUGCUAUACCGUACUAGCUCAUGAGGUGAAUGCUUCUAAUUCAUCAACAGAAAAUUGCAAGGCAGUACACGCUAGAAUUUUGCCUGACAGAUGUUUCUUCCUUUUCUUUCUUUCUUUUUUUUGUUGCUUUACCCCUUAUCGCCGAUGCAUCUGUGGUCCAAAGUCCAAAGAAGUGCGAUUUGCCUUCCUGUGUUACUGGUUUUUUCUGUCGGCACGCUGUACUUUUCACCGAUUAUUAAGCUGAUCUGUUGGGUAUCAGAUUGGAUCCAUGCAGUUGAAGCAUUACCAGACCCGUUUGCAAGGCUGACCACGCCCAAAUCUACAGUACAUCAUUUAGCUUAAGCGCUGAUGUGCCGAAUCCUCCUCAGUUAACCCCGCCCAAAUCGCGAACACCCUCACCUGUUCUCGCGUCGGCACGUAGGCUCCUACCGAGUCUUACUCCGCGCUCCAACGAAAAGGCCAAACCAGACUCCCAACUUCUCCUCAAGUCGGGGGUGACCCCGCCGCCCCUGUCUCAGUUCAUCCAGCGGUUCGCGCGCAGUGCCCACGGCGCGCCGCACUGUGACUAGCGCGCAACGUGCUCGACGGAAUGCCGCACCGGGACGUCGUCUCGGCCACCGCGGCCAUCGGCGCGCUCACCCGCCGCGGCCGGCACCGCGACGCCCUCGCCAUGUUCUCCCGGGUGCUCGCCGGCGGCGUCGCGCCCAACGAGUUCACCUUCGGCACCGUCCUCCGGUCGGCCACCGCGCUGCGCGCCCCGCGCGUCGGCGCGCAGCUCCACGCCUGCGCCGCCAAGCUCGGCCUCUGCUCCAACGUCUUCGUCGGAAGCGCCCUCCUCGACCACUACGCCAAGAUGGGCGCCAUGAAGGAGGCCCAGGGCGCGCUGGAGGAUACCAGUGAGCCGAACGUGGUCUCCUACACCGCCCUCAUUGCCGGUUUGCUGAAGAACGGGAUGUUCGAUGAAGCAGACCGCUUGUUCCGGCGCAUGCCAGAGAGGAACGUGAUCUCUUGGAACGCGAUGAUCGGCGGGUGUAGCCAAGCCGGGCUUAGCGAGGAGGCUGUUAAUCUGUUCCUGGAGAUGUGUCGAGAAGGCGUAACGCCGAACCAAAGCACCUUCCCCUGCCUGCUCACUUCUGUUGCCAAUGCAGGGGCACUCGGCGUUGGUAGAAGCGUCCACGCAUCGGCCAUCAAGUUCUUGGGCAAUCUUGACGUCUAUGUGGGCAAUUCUCUUGUGAGCUUCUAUGCCAGGUGCGGUAGCCUGGAGAACAGUGUCCUAGCGUUCAAAAAGAUCAGGCAAAAGAAUGUGGUAUCAUGGAAUGCGCUGAUCUGUGGGUAUGCGCAGAAUGGGAGGGGAGAGGAGGCUUUGGAUGCUUACAAGGCGAUGAGAGCGACGGGGCUGAAGCCGGAUAAUGUCACUCUUCUCGGUUUGCUGUUUGGUUGCAACCAUGCUGGUCUGGUUGACGAAGGCUAUGCAUUGUUUAAGACUGCUGAAAUGGAGCAACCUGGUAUACUGAAACCUGAGCAUUAUGCCUGUGUAGUUGAUCUACUAUCUCGGGCCAAGCGGUUCGACGAUGCCAAGAGGUUUCUUGAGGAGCUGCCCUUUGAACCUGGCAUUGGUUUCUGGAAGGCACUGAUAGGAGGUUGUCAGAUUCACUGGAACAGGGAGCUAGCUGAGAGCGUUGCUAAGCGCAUUCAUGAAUUGGAUCCAAAGGACACAUCUUCCUACAUUCUCCUGUCAAAUGUUUAUUCUGCAGCAGGAAGCUGGCAAAGUGUGUCCAAUAUCAGGAGGGAGAUUAAGGAGAAGGGGCUGAAGAGGAUUACCGGCUGUAGUUGGAUUGAGGUCCAGGACAAAGUCCAUGUCUUCUUCAAUGGAGACUGUAGGCAUCAACAGAGUGAUGAAAUUUACUCGGUGCUUGAAGCGUGUCUGUAUACCGGGAAAGAUGAUGAACAUGAACUCUCAACUGUGUGAUGAUGACAAAUCAUCCAAAAGAGUGAGACUAUUGGAAAAGAUGUUUGCUUGUCACUGUCUUCUAUCGUUUUGAGGACCACAGGAGACUGCAGCGCUGCACCAUGGAGAGCGAGUAAUCAGGUUUCAGCCUUUCAUGUAUCAGAUGAUCCGAUGCCUUGCGGUAGCUGCAAGAAAUGUCCCUUGUAUCGCAACAGCAAAGGAAUACUGCAGUGUUCUUGGACUGAAGAUGACUAGAUGAGCAGCUGGAUCAUGCUCAGGUUAGAGGAUGGUACCAUAAAUCAGCAUGUCAAAGGAAACCUGCUAAGUUUUUAGACAAGAUGAGCAGCUGGACCAUGUUCACAUCAGAGGAUGGCGGUACCGACAUGGCACCACAAAUCAGUAUAGAAAUUUUACAUAGCAAUGCUGGCUGGUAUGUUCCUUGUUCAGGGUUAACCCUGUUUUCAUUUAAAAGAACUCAUUUAAUCAAUUGGCAUUCUUAAAUAAAUAAUGUUGAACCUUUCAACUGUAAUGUUAAUGGAUUAAAUGAGUCCCUUGACAAAUUGUAAUUCAAUUGUCAACCACAUAAGCUUCUAGAGAUGCAUCAUAUGUAUCAUCCAAAAGAAGCUUCUCUACAGGUGCUAAAAAUAAGCAAGAGGUACCAAUAAUUAGUAUCGGGUGCUAAAAAUAGGCAAGAGGUACCAAACCAGUCCUAAAUGUUUCGGAUAAGCAACUGCAAAAUCAAAAGUUGACGCAAAAAACGUGACUGUCGACAGUUUAAUACACUACCCAAAAUAUAAUGCCAUACACGCCUUGGUCAUCGUCACAACAUUCUACAAGCAAACAUGCCCUGGGGAAACUCAGUUUUGAUGUGAAAAUUUGAUGUGAAAAUCUGAACUCCAAAUUCAAACAACUCUCCAUCAAAACUAGAAAAUGACAACAUCAAGAAUUUAAGAAAAUUAUAUUUGGAUAAUAGCGUUGUAUUCGGAACAUCCACAAGGGUCAUUGAUUCCUUCAGCACAGGUAAACAAUUCUACAUUGUUCCACUAGCAACCUAACACUGCGCUAAACAAGUAAAACAUCGGAGGAAAAGAAACAAAGACCGCAACAACGUGCGGCAAUCUAAGAGGAGGUGAACUUGGUGACAGCCUUGGUGCCCUCAGAGACGGCGUGCUUGGCGAGCUCGCCGGGGAGGACGAGGCGCACCGAGGUCUGGAUCUCCCGGGAGGUGAUGGUGGGCUUCUUGUUGUAGCGCGCGAGGCGGGCGGCCUCCUGGGCGAGCUUCUCGAAGAUGUCGUUGAUGAACGAGUUCAUGAUGGACAUGGCCUUGGAGGAGAUACCAAUGUCCGGGUGCACCUGCUUGAGCACCUUGAAGAUGUAGAUCUUGUAGGUCUCGACGCUCUUCUUGGCCUUCUUCUUCCCCUUCUUCUCGCCGCCCUCCUUGCCGGAGCCAGGCACGCGCUUCUCGGCCUUGGGCUUCUUGUCGGCCUUCUCCUCCGCCGGCUUCUUCUCAGCGGGCUUCUUCUCGGCCUUGGGCGCCAUCACGGAAUCGAGCGGGUGGAGCCGACGGCGGAGCUCGGGAAGCGGCGGAUUGGGAAUUUGGUGGUGGGGGCGGCGGUUGCUCUUGGCUUUUGGUGGUGGGUUUCCGGGGGGGCGGGGUGGGUUUAUAUAGGCAGGUGGGGCGGGCUAUGAUUGGUGGAGGGGGUGGCGGCGCGGAUCGAUGAUAUGGCGGUCUGUGGAGCGUCGGAUCGUUGGACGGCUGGGAUUUUGAGGCGCGGGGGAGGGGUUUGGCGUGGGGACGCGUAUCGCCGCGGAUUCGGGAAAAUACGAGCGGGAAACCGUCAGCCAUGUGUGAAAUCGUAAGUUUUGGCCUUUUGGGGCGCGGGUUGUUUUCUUUUUUAUGUGGAGAUUUUUGCGCGCGGGCCAGCGGCCAGGUUUUGGGGCGGCAAGAGUAGGCUGGGCCUCUGUCGGCCACAGGCGGGCUUCACUGCUAGAGUGCCGAAGAUUUACUGGCCUAGCUUUAAAAUUCAAAGAUUAACUGCACUCGCAACUUCCCCCUCAAAAAAAAAAACUGUACUCGCAACUUGAUAUUGCCACGCUCUUAAUUGUGGAAAUGGGGCGGCGAUUAUCUUGAGAAAGAUAUAAUUUUUUUAAGAAGUACCUGUUGAUGUUGAUGUUGUAACUGUUGUAAUAGAAAUUUGUUUGUAACCCAUACAGUGAAAUCAUAUCGGGGAUUAAGAUCAUCACGGCUCAGAUUGGUGCUCUACCACUAGGAUCAAGUCCUUAAAGUCUUGGAUUGAAACCUUGCCACCGGGGAGGCGGGGAGAAAGCUCCAUUAUGCGGAAGCAACGUCCAUGCAUUUGUUUCGCUGCAAGCUAGCUUUUAAAUAAGUUUUUUUUAAUUUAGCCCAUUUUUAUUAAGUAUCAUCUUAUAUCAAUUUUAGAGGCAAUCUCAUUACCGAGCUGACAAACCAACUGACAAGCCAAACCUUAUCGAACUGUGUCCACUUGGCAACAUCCUGAAUUAACUAUUUAUCUUAAUGUAAACAGAUCGAAAUGCACAAAUCUUGAAGCUUCUACCACAAUUCAAGGUUUUUUUGCCCAACCCUUUGCAGGAUGAGCCACUUGACAGCAUGGUCAAUGAUUCUUGUUGUCUCUUUUUGCUAAGCCACGUUACUAGAAGGUCUUCGGCAACACUGGCUAGUGAUGGGUUCUAGUAAAAUCAAAUAAUAGGUAGUAUUAUAGUUUCAACCAUUUUGAAGACCAGGUCUUUUAGAGAUAGAAGUCGUUUUCACUUUUUUUAGCGAGAUUGAUUUUAUCCAUUUGGUGUCAAUAAUAGGCGCCCAUUCGAGGUGUAAAGAAAUUGAUCUUGUUUUAUUAUUAAUGAUGCGAAGCUAUUUCUUAGAGGCUUCAUCGGGUGAUAACCUGCAUUACAUAUUGGAGCCUAAGAUCUUUCUACUUUGACCGACACGCCACAAGAACACUUUGAACAAAUGAAUUCUUGAAAAACCUACAAAGUGAAUAGAUAAAGCUACCUAUAAAGUGAACAUAUAGAUCUUCUUAUAUUUCGAGCACCUGGGGUGCUGCUGCAAACCCUCGCCCUCACCUACCUGUAAACUACAUCCACAUAUAUAUCCAUCGGUUGUAGCACCCACACACACGGGUAAGAUUGGCAUGCUGAGUAUCUAUCAAUCUAGUAAAUCCAAUAGUUGCUUUAGUGAUGUAUCCCACUGGGGUGCUUUUGGCUAUGGGUUAUGUUUCAUGGUGUCAUUGUAUGUGUUAACUUGAUGGCAACAUUCUUUGUAACAGUAAUAAUUCGACUCUUUCUUCUGGUUAUCGAUGUUAUAUCUAGCACUUACGAGGGAUUUAUGAGGAUUAUGAUCGUGUCAACUGAUGGUAACAUGGGAGAAGAAUGGACGACCUUUAUCAGGCCAGAGGUGCGGUAUCAUCAAUAUUUCUCAAACAUUUAUAUGCAUGUGUACUCCUCAAUACGCAUGACUAUUAUGGUGUUAAAAAUCACUAUGCGAUUGUGAUUCAUCCGUGUAUUACUUUUCUCUUUUUGUCCACUCUUAACGAUGAGGGGAGCAAUGCAUAGUAGUGAUGUAAUACUUUUAUCAAAUUUGAUCGUAUUGUUUGGCACGAUUUUUUAACCCGAUCAUGUUUUUCGUAACAUAAAUAGACGCCCAAUGACGUCUUUGCUUAAAAAACAACCGCUAUGAUUCACUCCAUGUCCUUUUUAAAAAAAAUGAUUCGCUCCAUGAAACUUUCCUUUUCUUAGAGCACUGAGUCAAACCAUAGUGCCGACCGAGUGCCGCAAAAGAGCCGACGCCGCUUGCCUCGCUCCCCCGCACGGAUGGGGGAUAUUUAAGUAAUUGCCACCCUUGCAAAUGGCACUCCUUCAUUUGCCACUUUUACGGGAGCUUCUACUAUUUUGCCAUCGCGAACGAAACGUGGCAACUGAUUUGCCAUUUUUGCUGACGUGGCACGCCACGUCCCCGCGACAGCGUGGUUUAGGGGUGCCAAAAGACCCUCAUGCCCCCGUCGGUCUCCUCCGUUACCCCGGACCCGACGCCAUCCCCUUCCCCGUCUCCCCCCCCCACUUCUCCCCUCUCCCCCCAGGCCUCCCUCCUCCCUGCCUCCCCGACGAAAAACCUAGGUCUAGAGCGGCGGCGGCGGCGGAGGCGGUGGCGGCCAUCCAUCUCCCCAUUCCCAUCCCCUUCCCCAUCUACCCCAUUCCCCAUCUGCUGUUGUUCCUCCCUGCGCCAACGGGUCAACAAUGGAGCCUCCUCCCUGGUAAGCUGCAAACCAUCCCCUCUUAAAGUGUUUGCCUGAGAGGAGUUGGAUGUUUCUAACUCCGUAUUUUGUUAUUUUCAUUAUUAUACCAGGAUUGAUCCUGGAAAUGCAUUUAGAAUAGAGGUUAAGGUUGAAAAGUAUAAGGCAUUUGCGGAGUCUGGUAUUGUAGAAAUUCAUGAACAAGAACAUGUGUUGUGGUUUGAUAGAUGCAGUGGGUAUAAUCUGGAUAGUUUUGUUGUUGAUAUGGCUAGCAAAAUAUACUGGGGAUCUAGUCAGACAAUUGCAGUGUGGUCUGUGGAUGUUAACAGUGAAGCUGAGUGGAAGGUUAGAAAAAAUGAGCAUUUUGAGUCAAUGAUAAAGCACAGAUGGAAUGUUGGAGUAGCAAAUGUUAGGGUAGAAGUUGUGGACAGAUGGAAUGAAGGGUACCAAAAUGUUAACAGUUGUGCAGGGUCAGUAGGCAAUUCUGGAGUAGGGACUUCUGGAGUAACAAAUGAAGGUGCAAGUGAAUAUUGUACAUCUCCAGCACAACAUGAGCAAGCCCAAACAGAAAUUGUUGAUUGGAGUACACUGACUAUACUGCCAGAGACUCAACAAGAUGGUGAAGCUUAUGUUUUGGCUGAUGAGGACAGGGUUUAUGAGGCAAUGGGCUUCAAAGCAGCAGAUGAGGCAGCAGCUCAGGCAGCAGCACAAGCAGCAGCAGAAGAUGACCCUGCUAUCCCUGACAUUCCUCCUGAUGUACAAGCAGAGAUGCAUGAGGCUGGAAUUCAUGUUGAUGACAAUGAACCUUCAGAGCCAAUACUUGAGUGGGAUAGAGACAACCCAGACAUGAGGGUGGGCACAAUCUACCCUAACAUGGUAGAUUUCAGAUUGGCAGUGAGGCAGCAUGCUAUAGUCAAUGAGUUUGAGCUGGGAACUGAGAAGUCAGACAAAGAAAGAUUCAGGGGGCAUUGCUUGGCUAAAGGGUGUCCAUGGGUUAUUAGAGCUAGAACAAAAGCUGAUGGUUCUGUCAGGGUACAUUUACUAACUUACAUGUGUUGUAAUGUUUGACUAACUUAGCCUUACUAUUUGUUUGCUGUUGAGCUAACAAAUCUUUAUGUCCUGCAGGUCCAAAUAAACAAUGAGCUUCAUAAGUGUGCUUCAAGAAGCAGAGUGCUGGGCAGAAUGGCCAAUCAAGCAUGGGUGGCUGAGAGGGCCAUACCUUUGCUCAAGAGGAAGCCUGGAAUGGGUGCUGCAGAUGUGAAGGAAGCAUUGGAGGACAAGUACAAGAUUAAGAUCAACUACCAGACAGUUUGGUAUGGUAGGCAGAGAGCAGCUGACAAAUUAUUUGGUAAGUAGGAUGAUUCAUUUGAUUGGUUGUAUAGGUUUAAGGCAGAAGUGGAGUUGAGGCAGCCUGGUAGUGUAGUUGAGAUAGAUACUGUCAAAGUUGGAGAGAAGCACCAUUUCAACAGAUUUUUUUGUGCUUUCAGAGGUAGUAUAGAUGGGUUCUUGUAUGGGUGUAGACCUUACAUUAGUAUAGACUCCACAGCUUUGAAUGGGCAGUGGAAUGGACAUAUGCCUGCAGCCUUAGCUUUAGAUGGUCAUAAUUGGAUGUUCCCUUUGGCCUUUGGGUUUUUUGAUUCAGAGACCAAGGACAAUUGGAUUUGGUUCAUGGAGCAGUUAGGCAAGGCCAUUGGGGUACUUCCAAGAAUGGCUGUUUGUACUGAUGCUUGCAAGGGCCUAGAGUCUGCUGUCAAGCAUGUUUUUCCAUGGGCUGAACAGAGGGAAUGUUUUAGGCACUUGAUGGAAAACAUGAAGAAGAAGUUCACAGGAAAUGUAUAUGCUGAAAACAUGUGGCCUGCUGCAAGAGCUUACUCAGCUGGAAAGCACAAUUACUUUAUGAGUAAAGUCUUGGAAGCUAGCCCUGAGGUAGGAAAAUGGUUAGAAGAGCACCAUAAUCUGUUGUGGGCCAGAUCCAAGUUCUCUCCAGACAUCAAAUGUGACUACAUCCUGAACAAUUUGGCUGAGUCUUGGAAUGCAUGGAUCAAAGAAUUCAAGGACCUUCCACUACACUGUCUGGUAGAUGCUAUCAGAGAGAAAGGUGUGGUCAUGUUUGAAAGGAGGAGGAGGAUUGGAAGAGCUUUGAAUGGAGUUAUUCUCCCUGCUGUGAUUCAUCAACUUAAUGCUGCCUCAAAGGGGAUAGGACACUUAAAGGUCACCAAAGGACUGCCACACCAAGCUGAGGUCACUGAGAUAUACAAAGAUGAGGAAGUAAGAAGACAUGUGGUCUAUCUCAAUGACCAGAGCUGUACAUGUAGAGAAUGGCAGGUUACUGGUAAGCCUUGCUCCCAUGCUUUGGCUGUUAUAACCACUGUGAGGCAGCCAGAUUAUGAAAAGUUUGUGGACAUGGCAUAUUCUGUGAUAUGAACCCGCUAGGGGUGAUUCCCGAUCUUUCGAUGACAGGCGUGGGAUAACUCGAUUGGUCAAUGGAGACGACGUUCACGGCCCGACUACAGCCUUCCAAGCUGCGCCUUAGCAACCGACACACCACCUCCAAUGGCUGCCGCGAUCUUGUGGAGCGCGUCACCCGGCCACUAGAGCACUCGUCCUGCAAGCAAUCGAAGAACUAGCAAGAACAAGUAUAACAAGUACUGAAUUUACUAGAUGAAGAUGAAGGUUUCCAACUCAAUCUCAAUACGGUGGGGUUCCGAAGACAGCAAGACGGGCGGCUGAUCCAGCACGCGCGCUUACAAGCAAGUAGCGAGAGCUAAACUUGAUCUAAACAAAACCCAAUCUGUUCGUGACGGCUCUAAUCCUUAUUAAUACCUAGGAGGACGACCAGGGGGGUGUUGGGGUCGUGCUCCAACCCUAGGACACGUCCCUAAUGGACCCAACUUGAUACACGGCCCAUCGGGCCAAAAUAGGGCGACGCAGCACCUGUGGACAGAAAACCUCUCGGUAGUAUUUCGAUGAUUGCGGCCGCCUCAGAAUAGAUAUGGACAUGAGUCCGGAUCCAUAUGAAAAUAGACUUUAUAAGGAUUCCAAGAAGUACUUGAACGCCCAAAACGGAGUCCGGAUGAGGUCGUGGUGGUCGUUGCAAGUUGGGUCAGAACUGUAGUCCGAAUCCAGCACCAAAACGUGUUGGAUUGGAUCUCUUUCUUUCCUUGGGCCAAAAGUGACGUGGUGGUCUGGUGGAGGACAUUAGGAAUACUUGGACUUGGCCCCCAAUCUACUUCUUUGGUCCUCCAUGCCUUCCAUGUGUGUUUAACACUAUUUUUGAUCCAUGUAUGUAUUUCUGAAAUUGACAACGAAUACACAUCAUGGUGCAGCAUCAAUUCAUCAAAUGUAUCACAUAUAAUUAUGAUAAAGAAUUGUUUCACCUCGGAGUCAAAAUAUGCCAAUAUGGUUAUAUCCGAGCAUGUGAUGUCCUCAUCAUUCUCCCUUUCUUGGCUGCAAGUCGUCCUCGACUUGCUCCAGUGGCAUUCUAAGGUGCUUGUUUUGAUGUUGGAGCACGGAGCGACGGCCAUGCUGCAUGGCCACAACCAGUAAUGCUCCCCUUCUUUGGUCUUACCCUGUUGCAUAUGGGAAAAACUAGAAAAACUUUGCAAGACAUUAUUAGUGUUAGUGCAGCCCUCUAUUUGAUCAUGGUAUUGUAGCCCAAAAGGAUAUUUCAGCGUGGAGCAAACAUAAACUUUAUGCACCAAAUAUUCUCCUUUGCUAUCAUAUUUGCCAAUUGCAUGAAGCGAACAAUGAUUAAAACUUGGCAAACCAGAACCAAAUUGAAGUUUCUCUUUUAGACAAUUUAGAUUACACAAAACAUCAAAUUCAAUGUAACCCAAAGUAUUUAAAGAGGAUAGCAAAUUCAGUUCAUCUUGUGCACAAGUAAUAGGAUGAAAAAGCUUAGCUUCAGCACAUUUGUAUGAUUCCAAACCAAAAGUAUCACACUUAUUCACUACUUGUGGUAUAGGAGUAAAAGAAUCAUCAGCACACAAGUCCUCUUUAUCACAAGGAACAGCAAGUAAUUCAUUUUGUGACAAAGGAAAAUCAGCAAUGGGUUCCACUAUUUGAUGCUCUUCAUUAGCAUGGAGAGUGGACAAAUUUUGAAUAUAAUGGGUCACAUCAUGCUUGCAAGUAUUCACAGAUAAAAGAAUCUCUUUUUCAACAUUGAGAGCAAGGCAAAACAAUUGACCAAUAUGUAUGUAUGAUUUGCUUAGCAACAAGGUUUGAAUUUCAGAAUUGAGCCCUCUCAUGAACCUACACAUAACAUCUUCCAUGCACUCAUCUAAUCCACCAUACAUGAUACAAAUUUUAAAAUCAUGGAAGUAUUCUUUUACAGUCCUACUACCUUGCCUCAAGUUGUCUAAUUUAGCAAGCAAAUAAUCAGCAUAAUAUUCAGGAAUGAAUGCAUCUCUAAAAAGAAAUUUAAAGUCUUCCCAAGAUUCUAGAACUUUGUUGUGCCUACAAAUGUGUUUCCAUUCUAGCAAAGCAAAUCCAGUCAAAACAUUAGAGGCAAUAUAAAUCUUUUGUUUCUCGGACAAGUCAUGCUCAUUAAAUUCAUUAUCUACUUUUAGCUCCCAAUCAAUGUAAGCUUUAGGAUCAAACUUACCAUCAUAUAACGGCAAUUGUUGAAUGACAUCUUGAAUAUGAGAGUCUAGUUUCAACAGCUCAAAAAUCUCCGUAUCACCUGCCAUGAUUAGUAGAAAACAAGAAACACAAAAAUAAUAUGUAUCCUCCUGUCAACUACUAGGAUGUGUCGGUUGUAAUUCUCUCAAACUCAACUUGUAAAAACAAGCCCUUACAAGUUCUUACCAAGCCAAACAGGAGGUGACGGCAACCAACAAGUCUACAACCGUGGAGUGAAGUGUAUCGGUGCCGCAGCAACAAAAAACCUGUCAAGCUGUAGUCGAAUAUGUGGAGCUGUAGGUGGGCUUAAGCAAGGAAAUAUACUAGCACCACGUUAGUCACAAAAGCAAGCUGAAUAAUAGUUCAACGGUGGUACUGUGCUGGUCCUAGCCUAGACCGUGCUAGAGACGCGAGCCUGGACACAAAGGAAGUCACAACACACCACCGGAAAACAAUAGGGAAGCACAACGAACAGCCCCUUUUCUUCCUAUUUUUUUUUGUCUUUCUUUUCUUCUUUUUUUUCUUCUGUUUUUUUUUCUUUUUUUUUCAGGGGAUCCUCAAAUCUGAUUAUAUGAACAAAAGGACUUCACAAGAGUCACACACCACACAAACGUUUGCCAAAACGAUAGAAAUCAGAUUUGGACUCAAGAUAGCAACAAGGCAGCUGUCAAUUCAAACUCCAAACCGAUUCCAACUCGAACUCAGCACCACGCGGGAUUCGGUCUUAAACAAACUCGGAGUCCUACUCGGACUUGAGCACAAAUAUGUAUUCAGAUUCAGCCAACAAAAGGUUUUAUAUGGUAGCACACGGCUGUGACUAGAACGUGACAAGAACUCGAAACUCUAAAGGACAAAAACUAAGACCAGCAACUCGACACAACCGAUGCAACCAAAAACUCAACAAGCCCUAACUAAGCAGUGCUAGCAAAGGCUCAAAGGGUUUAUAGGAUUGCGAGUAAACUAAUCUACUACUUUUUUUGGCUUUUUCUGGACAAUAGGAAAUUAAAAACAGCAAAAAACUAGAAGUCUCUCACCGAUAAACCUUGCUCUGAUUACCAACUGAUAUGAACCCGCUAGGGGUGAUUCCCGAUCUUUCGAUGAGAGGCGUGGGAUAACUCGAUUGGUCAAUGGAGACGACGUUCACGGCCCGACUACAGCCUUCCAAGCUGCGCCUUAGCAACCAACACACCACCUCCAAUGGCUGCCGCGAUCUUGUGGAGCGCGUCACCCGGCCACUAGGGCACUCGUCCUGCAAGCAAUCGAAGAACUAGCAAGAACAAGUAUAACAAGUACUGAAUUUACUAGAUGAAGAUGAAGGUUUCCAACUCAAUCUCAAUACGGUGGGGUUCCGAAGACAGCAAGACGGGUGGCUGAUCCAGCACGCGCGCUUACAAGCAAGUAGCGAGAGCUAAACUUGAUCUAAACAAAAACCCAAUCUGUUCGUGGCGGCUCUAAUCCUUAUUAAUACCUAGGAGGACGACCAGGGGGGUAUUGGGGUCGUGCUCCAACCCUAGGACACGUCCCUAAUGGACCCAACUUGAUACACGGCCCAUCGGGCCAAAAUAGGGCGACGCAGCACCUGUGGACAGAAAACCUCUCGGUAGUAUUUCGAUGAUUGCGGCCGCCUCAGAAUAGAUAUGGACAUGAGUCCGGAUCCAUAUGAAAAUAGACUUUAUAAGGAUUCCAAGAAGUACUUGAACGCCCAAAACGGAUCAAAGGUAAGCCCGUCUCCUCACCGACAAGAGCAUCUACAACCGGCCUCCUCACACUUGAUGACGCUCCAGCCUGCGACAUGGCUUGCGCGUGACGGAUGGGGGAAGAAGGGACGACUAGCGGGGGGGGGGGGGUUUGGGGGGGGGGGCUGGUGACCCGCUGCGCAGGGAAGGAAGGGAGGAGAUGGGGAAGAGGGGAGAUGGGGAACGGGGGAGAUGGGGAAUGGGAGAUGGAUGGCCUCAGUCGUCGCCGCCGCCGCCGCCGCCGCUCUAGAUGGGGAGAGGGGAGAAGUGGGGGGGAGACGGGGAAGGGGAUGGCGUCGGGUCCGGGGUAACGGAGGAGACCGACGGGGGCAUGAGGGUCUUUUGGCACCCCUAAACCACGCUGUCGCGGGGACGUGGCGUGCCACGUCAGCAAAAAUGGCAAAUCAGUUGCCUCGUUUCGUUCGCGAUGGCAAAACAGUAGAAGCUCCCGUAAAAGUGGCAAAUGAAGGAGUGCCAUUUGCAACGGUGGCAAUUACUUAAAUAUCCCCACGGAUGGUGGUUCCGUCACCCCAAACGGCGAUGGGCGUCCAGGAUCGAUGAUCAUAGAUCGCUCCGACGCCCAGUCGCUCACGGCUCACCCGGUGGAUGGCGGCGCCCACCAGCAGCCUGCCUGCUAGCCGGUUCUUCUCCCUCCCUUCUCUCGGGUACGAUUCUUUCGAACUUUCCAUCCCUCCCUCUCCCAUCACCUUGUCCAACUGCCCUCCGGUCUACUCACGUCCGAGUCCAACGACGGAUCUCCCUCUACGAUGAUCUAUUAGCUUUUGCUGCGAUCUGAUCUACUAUAAGCUUUGUUAAAUUGAUCGAUCUAUCACGGGAUCCCCUUCCGCAGAUCCGACUUAGAUGCAGAUCGCAGUCACGGUAAUGUCAGAAUAGGCUUCAUCUUCAGCACUAAUCUAGUGGCGUUAGUUACUCGCAUGGCUGUCUCCUCCCGGUUGGAAUUUGGGGCCUUUCAUUUAACCUGAUUCGGAUUUGGGACUUGGAAAUAUAGAGGGAUCAAAUCUUGGGAGCCAGCCUUUUGAAUGAAACGCCAUGUUUAGUCGCACCGGGUGCGCCCCACUUUUUGUUUCGACGGGAACGGUGGCACAUCCCAUUUGCACUUCACACCAUAGAUCUUACUACUGCUUGGUGAUUUGGGAUGAUGAGUUGUCUGUUGGUGCUUGCCUUUGGUGGCUGCUGGCUGGGUAGUUCUCACUGGAUAAAGUAGCAAAGUUUUACAUCAGUUUGAUAUGGUUGCUGCAAGCAUUGACUAAAUGUAGCAUAUAUGUUGCGUGCUAUUAGAUGUUUCCGGGUAUUAUCUUGCCUGUAAUUCUAUAUUCUUUACACAACUAGAUAGGUCUUUUGUCUGCAGGGCCACUCAUUGGCGUCCAUUCGUUUAUAAUGUAUCCCUUGAAUGCAGGAAUGGGUGUCAUGUUAGAGGAACUGUCAAUUUGGAACAAUUCAUCUCCACAUACUCUGUAUGUAUUGCAGGAAAAAUUUGUAAGUUUUUUGUGUUGCAGAGCUCUGCUGUCAUGUAUUGCUCAUCUACUCUGGUCCACAUACCACAAUUUUGAACUGUUGCUGGCAAUUCAUGCAUGUGCUUUAUUUUCUGGUGAGGUUAGUUCUAAUGUUCAUGUAUAUAUGCCCUUCAUCACAACCAUAUUUGUACUUUUGUAGUAUACAUUUUAUUUUACCUUUCGAAUGUCACUAAUCCGUAGCCUUGUGUGCUGGCUACUGUCUGAAUGCUGAUACCCAUAUCAGAAUUAGGAUGUGUUGGAAGACAACAGUGGUCAUAUAGCGAAGUGGAUAUCGCGUUAGAUUCCGAAUCUAAAAGUCGUGGGUUCGAAUCCCACUAUGAUCAUUGUCUUCAGGCUUUUUUUCAUGUUUCUUGUAUCUAUAUUUCUUUUUUCUUCAGACAGGGACAUUUUGGCGGCCACCACCAGAAAGUGUACAUGCUCUCUUGUGAACUGGUCCCAUAAGCCUGCUGUCUUUUGUGAGAAUUGUCACCUCAUAUGCACCGUGUCAUCUGCAUCCACUUGUAUAUGUAAAUACAUAAUUGCAUGAUAUUAUUCCAUAGCUUAUUCACUUGAUUUAUGUAACCUGCUGCCUGCUUGUAACUGGUGCCUUAUGGUUUUACUUUUUGUGAACUAUGGAAGAUGGGAGCUUUCCAUAAUUGGUAACUGGUUCACGUCUUCCUGAUGGCCCCAACGUUAUCUGAAACUUGUGGCUGGGUGUUGCUGUUCGUUCCUCAUCUGUUGGUACUUGGUACAGCAUUGCAACUGUGCAUUGCUCAUCUCAUUGUAAAAUCAAAUUCAGCACAGUUCAAUGCAAUUUAUACAUGAUAUUUACACAGGCCAGGUAUGAUUCAUAAUGUGAUGUCAGUUUCUUUACCAAUCUCUGCCGAUUGCUGUUCGGACUUCAGACUGAUUUUGCUACAACUUGAUUCCUGUUCGGACUUACUGAUUUUGCAUCGUUUAAGUGUUUGACAAGGCAGCUAUACGACAACAAAGGUUAAUACAGUUAAGCUGUACAGCUGCUGUGUAAAGUAACGGGUAAAACUUAAUAACUAUGUUAAGCCAUGCUUACACAGUUAAACUCGCACCAGAGCACCAGGAAAAGUGACUAAACUCACAUAACUAAUUAUCUGGACCAAAAACUGAUUCAGUACACAAACUAUUGCACGAUUUCAUAGAUAUGUUCUACCUAUUGAAAAUCCAGCUUGUUCGAAUAGCGCUCAACAGUUAGCUAACAUAAGUGGCGUCAGUUUAUACCAGGUUCACUACCAAAGUUAUGAUAAAAUUUAGCAUUUCAAGUUUAUCAACAUUGGUUGCCCAAGACACACGAUACAAUCGAAUCUUUAGAAUACGCGACCCGUCCCAGUGCAUUUCUGGAGACAAAACCACUAUCAACCAAUGGACAGACGCUAAGUGGAGAAUAUACAAGACGCUGGCAUCAGAUGAACAUUUGGAGAUCGACAGCAAAAUCUUGCGGCCUGACACUGACACGGGGUUAGAUUCCACAGUAUACCCAUUUUCUUCAGAGCAUUUCCUGUGAUUUCCGCACGAUGCGCCUAACCUUUUUCUUGAAGUCCUCCCUCUUCUCCCUCCACUCUUUCUGUGCAAUAAAUACAACAGGCAUACAUUCAGAAACAAAGAAAUGCACUUUGCAUCAUUGCAGUAACACAUGGUAGUCCCUAUGCAACAAACACAAAUACUCUGGAGCUGGCACUUGUGACUCGUUCCUGACCCCAACAACUGGUUGAUAUCUAGAUGAAGUAGUGGAUGGUGUGUAGGGGCAUGAGAUGUCCAAUGGAAUUAUGCGAAUAAUAAUUUCAUAAUGUUUCAGAAAGUACUACAAAAGUUUUUUUAUGACACUCAGCACUGAAUUUUUCAAUAGUGGACAUUAGAACAAAAUUUGUUCGAGAACAGCAAAGCACACAGCAUGAUUUUGAGAAUGCUGGACACCAAGACAACUUUGACCUCUCAGUGUUGUUGAUUUCCUUUUAAUACUGACACGAUAUCUUGCCAUAGUACAAAUAAAUCCUUAUCAUUUUAAAACACUGGCAUGAUUACUGAUUGAUGGCAACAAGGACAGUAGGAGACAAACAUGAAGUAUUUUGACAUCAUAGAGGCCCACAAGUAAAGGUCCAGUAAACGAAUCAGUAUAAAGUAAAUUGUCAGUUGAACUUACAGCUGCCUCAAUAUUUGCUGGAGACUCGUCAUUUGGACUAGAGAGCAUAGAAAUAAUGCUUAGAACUAUACUUUCAACCUACAAACAAAAAACAAUAAUCAACUCAACAAUUAGCAAAAGCAUACAUAAAAAUAUUCACUGCUGAAAGGAGCCUGCACUUUAUCACUCUACCUAGAGACCCAAUGAGAGUAUUCUCUAUCUAUCCAGUGGAAGCUAGCAACAAUUCUAGAAUUGUUCACCACACAGAAGAAUACAUGUCAAUAUAUUAUUAGUAAAGCAUCUGCCCGCAAGGCAAUCAGCAAAUGCAAUAAUCUCUCAAAGACCAGAUGAUGAAUCCCAAAAAAUAAGGAAUUCCCUAGCAAUAAGCACUCAUAAAGCAUCAAAUCAUAAUGAAAUUCAAAGAGUAUACAAAUCAGUCAGUGAACUUCUGAAUAUUGUUUUCGUGGUGUAUGGCAGUAAAUUUAACUAAUAAAGGCUUCCAUACGGAAUAAGUUAAUGGGUAUGGGAUGGUACUAAUACAGAACACAAAAUGAAAAUGGAGAAGGAAUAUUUUAGCACCGGAGACAUUGUGUACGAAGCCUUACUGUAUGCACAGGUGUCCAACGCUCACUGGCAAGCUCAUAGCCGUUGGGAUCUUCACCAGGUGGAUGAAGAAUAGAGAUACACACCCGCCCAUCAGGAUAAACUGCCAAUUGCCCAAAUAUUAUGCAUGAUGUCAGAAAUCAGAAUUACAGAUCAAGUAUAAAUAAAUGUGAGUUCACAGCAAUAAAGAGCUGACCAUUCGGAUGCCACAUUUCAGAUGUAAAUCUGACUGAUGGUGGGCUGUUCGGGUAAUUUUGAGGGAAGCUCAUUAUAGCAUUGAAGUACCCUCCAUCACUGCAAAAUGAAGGUUAAUAUUAGUGUGUUACUCAGAAGAUAAAUAAAAUACUUUUACAUGAUUGCAUCAAGAAACUUCAAAGACAAAUACAAGGCCAGCAAAUCAACAGUUUUAUCUUUAAGGUUUGUCAGUAGUUCAAAAAGCUUUAGCUGAGUUUAUUCAUUCAAGACUCAGAUCACAUGUUUUGUUUGAGAUUGAUGUGAUUAUCAAGUAAUGCAUUAAAGCUGGAAAUAUAUUGAUCACAACUAUCCAAACUCCUGAAGGUAUUUUUAGGUUCCAGUUAAAUUUUCCUUGCAGUGCACUAUUUCUUUGCAACAAAGUGAACAUAAACAUUUGGUACAAGAAACAAACACCUAACCUAAUAGCUCCACUGCUUGCUAGUCCAUUAGGCCAGUAUAGAACCGUGCUGCAAUAUACGUUAUGGUGAGUAGCCAGCCAGCAAGAAAACUGACACGUAUCACUACUCUAUCAAUGAUGCUGGACAACCAUCCGACCACUUGGUCAGGAUUUAUCAAAGAGAACAUACUUCAUGAUAAUUAUUCCAGUCUAAUAUUCAUGUUUAUUUGAUCACAGGCCAUCUUUUAAUGCCUAGCAUGAUUGCACUAGGUUUUAAGUCUAUGAUUUUGUUAUCAAUAUGAACUGAAUUUGAUCUUCAUAAAAUGUACCCAAAGUAAGCUAGCAUGUAUUUUAAGAAAUUUUAAACUAACAUCUCAAAUGUCCAAUUCCAUAUAACCAAUUUCAAAUAUGCAGCUGAAAAAGAAACUGAUAGACAAAAAAAAAACACAGCCACACUAGUUCAGAUUAUGUAGUGAUAUGUAUGGCCAUAAAUGACAAGUUGCUUUGCUACUUUCCAUGCUGAGCUAAUGGCAGGCUAUUCAAGAAACUCUCAAGUGUGCUGCAUGCUCUUCCAUACAAACCACAUCCUUACGUAUGAGAUAACAAUUAUCAAACAUAACAGAUGUUUGCAACUGUGCAUAACUACAUAUACACCAAACUCAUCUACCAACACUAGUGUUCUUUCAAAUUUAUAACUAUCAGACUAUCAGUUACUCAAGUGUUGUUUUAUGUGUGCAGAACUCCACAAAAUGGCAGGCAUACUUACAACAUGUGGCGAAUAUUCUAGUCCAUACUGUAUUUGAGUAAUUAGUAGUCAGUGUAUUUACUUCGAAUCUGUGUGUUUUCCCUCUACUUCCAACUCAUAUUUCAAAUCUGAACAGGAAGACGCAUUCUGCUAUAAAAAUUCUGCUCAGGCACCACUGCACCAUAUAGCUUGACAAAAUUGAAAUUCAGGUGGCACUACUCAUGCAAGUGCCACAAAGUCACUCAAUAUUGAAUCGCGGGAAACAAAGUGUUCCUGAAGAAUUUCUCCCAUCUAUCUUUUACAAACUCCAAAACAAACAUGCAGUUCCAUUUCACAGGAUGAUGUAGCUGAAGAACCCAUCCGAAACUACCAUGAGACCGUCCCCUGCAGCAUGCCAAUGGAGCCUAAUUCCCCCCAUUUUCAAAUAUGAAACCCAACCCAGCAGUACACACAAUUUAUCCCGGAACUGCUGUCCCCCUGGUAGGCAUAUGCAGACCCAAUUCUAGGUAUUGUACGACCACAUAUUCAGAAACCACAAAUUAGACGAUAAACAGAGCAACCCACACAAUACGAACCAAACAAAUUCGAUGGAACUUGGCACCAGCCAUGUAGCCAAGUUGUUGCACUACUAGCCUCCUAGGGGUAUGCCACCCGCUGCAACAAUCAACAUGCCAAGCAAAUUCAGCCGCACACCAGGCUCCGCUAGAAACGAAUCCUGGGGAAAGGUUCUCCGUCGCUGCUUCCGAGCCACAGAUGCACACUAAACACCAUAAUUCUCAUGGCACCAACACAGCGAACAAGGAAAUCCAUAGCGAUAAGCGAAAUGGAGAGAAAAUCCAACUCACUAUAGGGUGUCGGGCGGGCCGAUGAUGGUGACCUGCCACUCGAACACGUUGCUGUCGUCGACCAGCCCAGCCGAGAACCCAUCCACCGGGUGCUUCGCUAGAUCUGCGCCAAACAACACCAUACCGCAAAACCACAAAUCAGUCAGCCAAUCAAUCCGCAUGGCUAGAAAGAAAAAUCGAGCGGAAACAGAUGCAGGGAUAACUCAAGCGGUGCCGCACCUCUGAGCUGCUUCUGGAGGAGGAGGCUUGCCUGGCUGGUGGUGGCCGCCAUGGGAGGGGAUCGGCGGGCGGUGGCUGGGCUAGGUUUUUGCGGCGCGCGGAAUGAUUCGCGCUCUCGGUACGCGGUGACGCGAAUUGAUGGGCGCCGCUGGCGCCUUAUUUAUAGACGUGAGGCGGGGAGCUCGGAGAAGAUGGGAAUCGGGAAGUGGGGCGAGCGGUGUGGGGAAGGAGAACGAAGCGGUGGUUGACUGGUAGGGCGGCCGCUCUGCCUCUGCCUGUCUCUCUGCUGUCUGCUCUGCUACCCCGUGGCCAUGGGGUAUCGUAUUUAUUAUGACAAGGGGUCAAUUUGGAGCAAGAUUGUGACGUCAAUUUGGAUUUUUGAGUAAUUUCAAGUCUUUCAUACGAGGAUUUUUUUUAAAAAAAAUGCAUUUCAUACGAAUAUACUAGUACUGAUGUAAACCAUUUCUUAGAUAAAUUGACUACACGAGCCCUCGCAUUCGAACAUUUCGUCCUAGCCAUCCAGGUGGUUCAUCCUAUUUGUCAUUUUACGUAGUAUAAAAUGAAGACUACCAUUUGGAUUUGGCUCACAAGAACUCUACCGAAUCGAACCUGUUCCACGGUGCUCGUUAUUGGACGAAAUUAGUGCGGUCAUCGGGAAAGAAUCGGUGUCUCUGUCUAAAAAGGCCUAGGACAACAUAAACAUGUUUGCUCACGUGAGCACAAAUAGCAAAUAGUACCACUAAUGUCAGUGUCCGUUUCACGAAGAGUUUCAUGGGCACUAAAUUUUAUGUCAUAUACCAGUCAUUUUGCUGACUUGGUAAAGUUAUUUAUGAGGAGAGUUUCAUCAGAGGUGAGAGGAGUUCCAUUCCUGUGACAUUUCGCAACAAUUAUCUAGUUCUCAGUCUUGAUAACUGUACAAUAAACUGUACACUGAGAUUGGACUACUCAAAAUUUGCAUCGAAUGGUCUGCAUCCGAUCAUCUGAAUAGAAAAAUCACAAGCAUUCUAUGGCAACUACCCUAUGUUUGACUGGUGGGAACAGUCAGCUUCAGUCUAACAGAGGAGGAAUUGUAAGGGCCUGUUUGGCAACCAAGUGUUAAAGUUUAACACCCGUCACAUCGGAUGUUUGGAUGCUAAUUAAGAGUAUUAAACAUAGGCUAAUUAUAAAACUAAUUGCAUAGACGGAGUGUAAUUCGCGAGACGAAUCUAUUAAGCCUAAUUAGUCCAUGAUUUGAUAAUGUGGUGCUACAGUAAUCAUUUGCUAAUGAUGGAUUAAUUAGGCUUAAUAGAUUCGUCUCGCGAAUUAGCACAAGGUUCUGCAAUUAGUUUUAUAAUUAGCUCAUAUUUAGUUCUUCUAAUUAGCAUCCGAACAUCCGAUGUGACACUGUUAAAGUUUAACACCUCGUAUCCAAACACCCCCUAAAUCGUAACGCUUCCUGGGAGAAGGCUGACCCGAUUGGAAUCACCGCCCUGGAGCCGCCUCCGCGGAAUGGCCGACAUGCUGUUUUCUGCAUCAAAACAGGCAGAAAAAUCACAACGCGGAAUAAAGAAAGCACGCCGUCGACUAACGAAACGAUCCGGCCAUCGAACCUGCAUGCUUGGCCAUCCCCCGCGAUCGACGGCUUGUUUUUUAAUACAGAUCGCAGGAGCCUCACUUGGACAGUUGGACGCUGCCUUGUUCCUGGCCAGCCUUCACUACACACCGCAGCACAUCAUCGCUCGGCCAGUCGUCCAGCCAGGAAGGCUGCACGGCCGAGCGCCGGGCGGUGUCCUCCUCGUGGUCGUGGGCGCCGGACGCCACCGACGGCAACGCACGCGAGCCGGACGAGCGUUUCAAGCAAAUGGGCCGACAAAGGUGGCGUGGGUGCGUGGCUCCGCGCGCGCGGGGCAGGGCUCCCCACCCCGCCCGUCCGUUGCUUUGCCCACGCCGGCCAGCGCGAAAUGAUGGUCCGCCGGCCGCCGUGCCGUGCCGUGCCGCGCGUUCCCCCUCCCCUCCGCGCGGCAGACGCGUACGGGGAACGGAAGCUUCGGGGUCGAGAAUCGGCAACUUGCUCGCCCAACCAAGAGGAGCCCCCCACCCACGUCGUGCUCGCUCUCUCGUUGCGUUGCGCCGUUGCGUGCCUCGGCGAGCUGGUGAUGAGGAUGUUCCUUCUCCGUUAAGUUUGCGCACAUCAUCAUCAUUGCAGCCAGGGCGAACGCCUACGCCCAAUUUCCGCGUGGUUCUUUCUGAAACGACGUAAAUCGGGUGCUAGAGGUUCGGCAUCCAUCUAAUCUAUCAUAACUGACUUUGUUCCUCUAUCCACAAGUUCUUGCGGUGAUUCAGCCAGAGUCUUUCGAUGCAAGUAUGUCGACAGGAGUGCAUGCCGGUCACAGAAGCUCAUGACCAGCUCCCCUCCAACAGCAGUCACCGGCCGGCCAAAGCCUACUUGACUAUCCAUCCACUUUGGCACUUUACACGUUUCAGGCGGAUCUAUCCUACGCGCAGAGCGAAUGAUAUCUUCUAGGAGCACAAAAAGGACAACACUUUCGCAGCCUCAAAACGUGAGCCGCUGCACGUUACCAGAAACUACAAUUUCGGCAGCGAACGAUGGCAGCCGUCGGUUCCCACCGGAGAGGGCGACGGAUAACGAUCGGAACAUGCGCGGGUUCCGCUCCCGCCUGGUCGUAUCGUACGAGCGGGCAAAGUCGCACGCUUCCGGCCACCAAUAGUGCGGUCGACGACGACGCCGGUGGACCAUCGGAUGCCGCAGCGCAGAGGCAGAGAUCCUCCCUGCCCCAGCGAGGGUCGUUCACGCACACCGAAUCUAGCUGGGCGUCA
RNAcentral lists this long non-coding RNA (69024 nucleotides) under Setaria italica (foxtail millet). RNAcentral's name for it is "long non-coding RNA (SITA_LNC004082)". The stretch from base 61284 to 61356 matches the Rfam family "tRNA". The record is from RNAcentral. Lineage: Eukaryota; Viridiplantae; Streptophyta; Magnoliopsida; Poales; Poaceae.